This 46283-nucleotide long non-coding RNA is filed under the name Gossypium barbadense (sea-island cotton). RNAcentral describes it as "long non-coding RNA (GBAR_LNC020424)". The record is from RNAcentral. Lineage: Eukaryota; Viridiplantae; Streptophyta; Magnoliopsida; Malvales; Malvaceae.
AGUCUUUAAUGUCAACUCUGGAAGUUCAGACAAGCUUAAUUCCUUUAACUGAGAGAACGCUGAUGUAUCUAUUUCAUUGUGGAAGAGUCCUUCAGACCGGACUAAUUCAGAAAUGGAAGCAUUGUUUAUAACAAGCUUCUGAAGGUUUGGUAGUGAGCGAAUGAAGGAAUAUGGAAGAGUAGUGGAUGUCUCAGGAAAGAAUUGGAGGUUAAGAAGUUCGAGGUUUGGGAAACACAAUGAGAGUUGUCCAUCACAUAUCCCCUUCAUCAUAUCACUCGUCGUCAGUGUUAAAUCUUGUAAAACAGGGAAAGUGUCCUGGACACCAACAAAUAUAUUAAACAUGGAUUAAAGAGUUUUAAAUUUAAGUAAGAGAGAAGGUGAGAAUAUUAGUUAGUUAAAAAGGCAAUUUAUAGGUAAUCUCAUUUGAUUGGAUAUAAUCUCGAGUAAUGAACAUGGAAUAUCAACUAUCAGUGAGCAUACCUCAUUGACGCAAAACAAGGGUUGUUGGUUUGAGAUUUGAACCUCACCAAAUAUCUGUGCUUUGGGGCAUUCAAUAACGUCCAUUUGUUUCAAGGAUGGCCAUUGGCUGGUAUGCAUCCUAGAGAAGAAACUUUUCAAUCUCGGCAACUUGGUCGUCACUGUUUCUGCCAUAGUAGACCGAGUAGCUGAUGUUGACUGUGACUCAUUAGCAAUGAGUCCUUGCAGCUCAAUUAUUUCUUCUAACGAAUCACAAUUCUGAAUCCGCAACUUCUCCAGACGAGGGAAAACAACCUAAUAAACCAUUUGAUAGGGUUAAUAACUGAAAAAUGUUGAAAUGAAAAAAAUUAAUGAAAGAAGUAAAAGGAGAAGACUGGUAAAGUAAAAGAAGAAGAAAUGACCUUUUCAUUGAGGACAGCAGAGUCAUUUGUUUGUGUAGGUUGGUGAAUUUGAGGUUCAUCUCCACAUACAGAUUUAGAGAUGAAAGUUUUCAGCAGAGGACAUUUUUUUAGCGUUAGCUCUUUUAAGCAUGGGAAUUCAGAGUAAUUUUGAAAGCAGAAAUUUGUGAGUUUGGGAAGGUCUCCCAGUGACAGCAACUCUAGUUUAGAGAAAAUCGUAUGAUUCCUCCAUUGAUCUUCUGCACCCAAUCCAUCCGUGAAGAUUACUUGUUCCAUCACAUUACAGUCUUUAAUUUCAAGACGUUGGAGCAUGACAAGAUCUUUUAGUAAGAAAGACGGAAACAGGUACUUCAAAUUGUGACACCCUUCCACCUGUAAGUGUUUGAGAGAUGAGGAAGAUGGGUGGUGCCAUAUCUCAUGAAUGUUAAUGGAGGACAAAGUCAGAUACUCCAAAUUGGGAAUGACAACCUGCAGACAUAUAUAAAUGUCAUAAUAAGAUAACAUAACUCUUCCUUCUUUACAUACAAAUACAAAUUCAAUCAAAAUGAGAAGAAGAAAUGAUAAAUUGUAGAGAAAAUUGAAACAUGGACUGAGUUAAGUGAUAAAAUGUAGAGCUGCAUAAAUCUAACAUCAUUCAACCGCCUUUCUUUUUCUAUCCUUAAAUUACACUUUCAUUAUCAUUUACAUUAUUUAUUUUUCAUUUACGCUUUUAUUUUAUUUCACUAAUUUAUUAAAAUUAAAACAAGUGGUUAAGUGUAAUGGUAAGGAACGUUUGCACUCCCAAAAGGAGGAACUAUGUUUGAACUUUAGAGAUGACAUUAUUAAGAAGGUAGCCAUGAAUCCGAAACAUAAACCAAAAAACGGAUAUAAAAAUUACCAAAAUAAAAAAUUACUAGCUUCUCUAAUGUUAAGUGAUUUUACCUAUUUAAUUAUUUUUUAAAUAAUAUAUUUUGAAUUAUUGUAAUUACUGUAAAAUAAUAUUCAUUAUCCAAGCUAUUGAAUAUAAUUAAAAUAUUUAAUAAUAUAAAUGAUAUUAUAAUAAAUUUUCAAAUCACAAUUAAAAUAUUUUUAUUAUAUUCAAUGUUUUACUUCAAAGCAGCAUAAUUCAGAAUAAUAACACAUAUCAUUCACGUUUAAUAAAAAAAAUUUCCUAAUCGCCAUUAAAGCAUUCGUACAAAUUAUAAAGUAUUGAUGUAUUAUAAAUUAACUUGACAGUAAGUGUAUAUUUAAGAUGACUAAAAAGGCAUGGAAAAGGGCCGUGAAAAGAUUUUGUUUGAUAUUCUUCAUACUCAACAACCUUAUUCAUUUCUAUCUUUUAUGCUAUCAAUUCCCCCACUAUUUAUCUAAUACAUUCUCAUCAUAUAUGGAUUCUCAUCAAUUCAUCAAAUAGAAGGAGAGAAGAUAUGAAUUAUUUAGUGCACAUAAAUAUUGAAUAUCAAACUCACCUUGUGGCAGAAUAAAGUUGUAGUGUUAUCUCCCACGCCUUGCUCGCCAAUCACUUUUUCACUCUCUCUUGAAAUUGAAGAAGAAAAUGCCGUCAUUUUUGGACACCCAACUAUCGCAAUAUGACUUAACUUUGGAAAUUCAAGAGCUCGACUUCCCAAAUAAAAAUUUGUCAAGUUGAAACACGCCUUUAUUUCUACAGAGUAGAGCUCAGGAAAUGUGAACUCAUGUGCUGUUGCUUCCUCCUCGUCUUCCCUAAUCACUUGUUCCAUUGUAUUGCAUUCUUUUACUUCUAUCCGCCUUAGUAGCUUGAGGCUCAAAAGCAUAGACGAGGUAAAAAUGUACUUCAAAUUGUGACACCCUUCCACCCAUAAGUGUUUGAGAGAUGAGGAAGAUGGGUGGUGCCAUAUCUCAUGAAUGUUAAUGGAGGACAAAGUCAGAUACUCCAAAUUGGGAAUGACAACCUGCAGACAUAUAUAAAUGUCAUAAUAAGAUAACAUAACUCUUCCUUCUUUACAUACAAAUACAAAUUCAAUCAAAAUGAGAAGAAGAAAUGAUAAAUUGUAGAGAAAAUUGAAACAUGGACUGAGUUAAGUGAUAAAAUGUAGAGCUGCAUAAAUCUAACAUCAUUCAACCGCCUUUCUUUUUCUAUCCUUAAAUUACACUUUCAUUAUCAUUUACAUUAUUUAUUUUUCAUUUACACUUUUUUUUUUCACUAAUUAAUUAACAGAAAAAUCAGCAAUUUUCACUUCUUCAUUCAUUCUUUAAUUAUGGUUUGAAGGUUUUUUUUAUUGCUGUAAAAUAAUUAAUAUAUUUUAAUUAUGUUUAAUAAUUUUAAUAAUAUUACUUUAUAUUAAUUACAUGAAAUAAAAAUACACUAUAUUUGUCACAUAUUUAUUUAUUAAAAGGCUUAAUAAGACAUUUGAUAUCUGAACUUGACACUUUUUCUUAAUUUAGUAUCUAAGUUUUUUUUUUAUGUCUAAUUUGAUAUCUAAACUUGUUAAACAUUAUACAAAUUACUCCAUUAUACUAAUCGUGUUAUUCCUCAAUAUGAUACUUAUGUUUUUUCUUUCUAUUCUUAUAAUCAAUCAACCAGUUUACCUCGAAACCGUUACGAAAAAUGAUGUGGCACUAAAAGACCAAUUCGCCAUUAACCUGUGGCAUUUCUUAUAAGAGUCUCACACCCAAUAACAAUUUGACACAUGGUAACAUUAUAAAAAUAUAUUUUUAAAUUUUUAAAAAUAAUAUUUUUUAAAUUCAUUAAUAUUUGAAAAAUAAAAAUAUAAUAUAUAUUUUUUGAAAAAUAGAAUUAAUUUUUUUGUUAAAUUAAAGUUAAUUAACAUUUUUUUAAUUAGGUCCUAAAGUAUCAAGUUUAGGUAUUAAAUUAGAAAAAGAAAGAGUCAAAUUUAGGUACCAAAUGUUAUAUUAAACUUAUUUAAAAAAUAUAAUUAUUUAUUUUACAAUUUAUUAAAAUUAAAACAAGUGGUUAAGUGUAAUGGUAAGGUACGUUGCACUCCCAAAAGAAGGAACUAGGUUUGAACUUUAGAGAUGACAUUAUUAAGAAGGUAGCCAUGAAUCCGGAACAUAAACCAUAAAACGGAUAUAAAAAUUACCAAAAAAAAAAUUACUAGCUUCUCUAAUGUUAAGUGAUUUUACCUAUUUAACAAUUUUUUAAAUAAUAUAUUUUGAAUUAUUGUAAUUACUGUAAAAUAAUAUUCAUUAUCCAAGCUAUUGAAUAUAAUUAAAAUAUUUAAUAAUAUAAAUGAUAUUAUAAUAAAUUUUCAAAUCACAAUUAAAAUAUUUUUAUUAUAUUCAAUGUUUUACUUCCUAUAAUUAAUAUAAAGCAACAUAAUUCAGAAUAAUAACACAUAUCAUUCACGUUUAAUAAAAAAAAUUUCCUAAUCGCCAUUAAAGCAUUCGUACAAAUUAUAAAGUAUUGAUGUAUUAUAAAUUAACUUGACAGUAAGUGUAUAUUUAAGAUGACUAAAAAGGCAUGGAAAAGGGCCGUGAAAAGAUUUUGUUUGAUAUUCUUCAUACUCAACAACCUUAUUCAUUUCUAUCUUUUAUGCUAUCAAUUCCCCCACUAUUUAUCUAAUACAUUCUCAUCAUAUAUGGAUUCUCAUCAAUUCAUCAAAUAGAAGGAGAGAAGAUAUGAAUUAUUUAGUGCACAUAAAUAUUGAAUAUCAAACUCACCUUGUCGCAGAAUAAAGUUGUAGUGUUAUCUCCCACGCCUUGCUCGCCAAUCACUUUUUCACUCUCUCUUGAAAUUGAAGAAGAAAAUGCCGUCAUUUUUGGACACCCAGCUAUCUCAAUAUCACUUAACUUUGGAAAUUCAAGAGCUCGACUUCCCAAAUAAAAAUUUGUCAAGUUGAAACACGCCUUUAUUUCUACAGAGGAGAGCUCAGGAAAUGUGAACUCAUGUGUUGUUGCUUCCUCCUCGUCUUCCCUAAUCACUUGUUCCAUUGUAUUGCAUUCUUUUACUUCUAUCCGCCUUAGUAGCUUGAGGCUCAAAAGCAUAGACGAGGUAAAAAUGUACUUCAAGCUGCUACAUUUAUAAAACUUUAUUUUGCCAAGGAAUGUCAAUUCCAAAACUGCUCGAGGGCUUUUUUUCCAUAUUUCUAUCAACUCGGGAAACGUGUCAGAGAUGGUCAAAACAUCUAGGUCAAGGCAUCCAACCUAAAACAACAAAUUCCUCCAUAUUAGUACAUUCAUAAUUCAAAAAUAAACACUCUUUGUUAGUUAUUCAACAAUGAAAGAAUAGGAAAGAAAAUCGAGCACUAACAUUCAUUGUAUCAGGACAAGGAAGCUAGAUAGCAUUAUGAAUUAACUCCGUACCUUUUGCAUGUACAACUGUUGUAUGGUGGUAUUCAAGUCACCUGCCCAACACCUAUUCAUGUAGAGACUACUCUUUUUUACACUUUGUAAUUGUGGGGUGCUUAAAACUCCCUCAGAAAAGAUCUUCAAUUUAGGACACCCUUCCACAACUACUUCUUCCAAACAAAGAAAGUUGAAGGUGUAACUUCCAGGACAAAAGCUUGUGAGGCUCUCUAAAUUGCUUAGUUGUAAACAUUUCAAGUUACGAACCACAAUCGUUUGAUGGUAGUCUCCCUCGUUUGCCACUAUUUCUGUCAUUUUAGUGCAGUUGCUUACCUCCAUUGUUGUUAAUUGCACAAGACUCUCAACUAUUAAGGGUGUAGCUAAGUUUGCCAUCAUUGCGCAAUUUGACACCUUUAAAGUUGUGAGAUUUUUAAAAGAUAAUGAUGAGGCUCCAAGAUUUAUCAAAUCAUCACAAUUCUUAAUUGUGAGUGUCUGGAGGUUAGAAAGAAUAUGGCCAAGCUCCGAAUCUUUCUUCCAUAUAUGCUUAAGAUUUUUGGAAGAAGUCAAUUGCAGAUUUUUUAUUGGUGAGGGAGUCCCAACAUCUCCCUCACAAGGGACUACAUGUUUGAAAUCAAAAUUAUCAAACUCGAGACUUUUCAGAUUGUAGAAUCUUCGGAGGAAAAAGAAUAUAAAAGGAGAUCCACCAUGAUGCCCUUUAAGAACUUUAAUGUGGGGAAACAAGUUCGGUGGAAACUGGCCCACAUCACCAACAAGAUCUCGUAACCGAAGUUGUUCUAGAUUGGGAAUGAUCUAGGAAACCAGUUAAACAUAAACAAAUCAAGCUCAAUGUUUGAGUAAUAGGAUUUUAUUUAAAAUUUUUAAGAAAACAGAACACCUUAUGAAUGAAAACUGAUAAAAAACACACACACACAACUUGAAAGUCGAUUGAAGAAUAACAAGUUUGAAUAAAAAAGGAUAAGCAAUCAUUGUUUCUGAUUUUAAAAAAAUAGGAAGAAUAAUGUAACUUAAAAAUAUAAUAAUUCAUGACAGUUGUACUUCCUUAAUUGCUUUCAAAACAAUAACCUCUUCUCUAACCCACUUUCCAUCUUACAUUUUUCUAUGGUUAAAUGCUUAGAUUAGAGUCCAAUUUUUUAGGGUUGCUCAUAGGCCUAACAUUUAUAAAAAUAUUCAAAUAAGAAAUUUUGAUGCAUUUCAACCUAAUUUGAGUUAAAAAAAAAAAGAUAAACUUUAACAUAUUUAGAAUAAAAUACAUGAUAGUCAAAUCAAAUAUUGCUUGAAAAUAAUAAAAAUAUAAUUUGAGACUUAAUAUACACUAUUUGAAAAGCCUUUAUUUGAGCACUUCACAAAACAGUUUGAUUCUUAUUUAAGCACUUUCAAAACAUUUUGGUCCUUAUUUGAGCAGCUUUCAUUUAAACAUUUUUAUGGCUAUCAAACCAAUGUAAGAUUCAGUUAAUUAAAUUGCAUUAUUAUGUCAUAUAACAUAACAUGCGGUUUAGAUGAUGAAAACAAAAAUAUUUGGAAUGAUAUACGUACCUGUUCAGUCAACAUUGCUGCCUCCCCAUUUCCCUUUCUUUCUUGCAUUAAUCUAACAUCUUCUAAGGCCACUAUCAUUAGCAAAGCAGAACUAUUUGUGCUCAAUGUUUUCAACAUGGGCCACAGGAUUGUAUGUUGCCCUUUAUAGGGACAUUUGAGCUCUUUUAAGUCUUCAACCACAAGUGAAGACACUUUGGGAAACUCAAACCUCAUAGGCUGCUCCUCUACUCCUUCCCCUUCUGAUACAAUCUCCUCCACCCCACAUUUUAUUAUGCUUAAAUCUUCAAGUUGUAGAAGAUGUUUGACUAUUGACGCUGGAAAUAGAAUUUUCAAACUCUCACACCCUGAAACACUUAAUUUUCGUAGAUUUUGAAAAGAAUCUGAUGGUAGGUCAUUUUGAAAUAUCAUCUUCACAUUACUCAACUGGAAGAUCGUCAUGGUUUCCAAGCUAGGAACAACAACCUAUUCAUAUAUAUAUAUAUAUAUAUGUAUAUAAUGCCCAUUUUAAAGUUAGCUCAUAUAUCGCAAGCAAAAAAACAAUAAAGGACAAAUCAAUUGAAUUAUACAAGUGUAAGACUAAUGAAAUAAAUCACCUUCUCAUUGAAGAGAGCCUGCAUGCCGGACUGAUUACUUAGUAUAUAUAUAUAUGUAUAUAAUGCCCAUUUUAAAGUUAGCUCAUAUAUAUAUAUAUAUAUGGAUUAUCACCAUUUAUAUACUCAUCAAUUCAUCUAAUAGAAAGCAAGAAGAUGUGAAUUAUUUAGUGCACAUAAAUAUUGAAUAUCAAACUCACCUUGUCGCAGAAUAAAGUUGUAGUGUUAUCUCCCACGCCUUGCUCGCCAAUCACUUUUUCACUCUCUCUUGAAAUAAAUGCCGUCAUUUUUGGACACCCAGCUAUCGCAAUAUCACUUAACUUUGGAAAUUCAAGAGCUCGACUUCCCAAAUAAAAAUUUGUCAAGUUGGAACACGCCUUUAUUUCUACAGAGGAGAGCUUAGGAAAUGUGAACUCAUGUGUUGUUGCUUCCUCCUCGUCUUCCCUAAUCACUUGUUCCAUUGUAUCGCAUUCUUGUACGUUUAUCCUUUCCAAUUGCUUGAGGCUCAAAAGCAUAGACAAGGUAAAAAUGUAUUUCAAGCUGCUACAUUGAUAAAAUUUCAUUUGGCUAAGGUUCUUCAACUCCAAAAUUGCUCGAGGGUUUUUCUUCCAUAUUUCUAUCGACUCGGGAAACUUGUUAGAGAUGGUCAAAUGAUCAAUUCGGCCAUAUAAUUGUCCCUAAAACAACAAAUUCAUCCAUAUUAUUACAUUCAUAAUUCAAAAAUAAACACUCAUUGUUAGUUAUUCAACAAUGAAAGAAUAGGAAAGAAAAUCGAGCACUAACAUUCACUGUAUCAGGACAAGGAAGUUAGAUAGCAUUAUGAAUUAACUCCGUACCUCUUCCAUGUACAACUGUUGUAUGGUGGUAUUCAAGUCACCUGCCCAACACCCUUUCUUAUCGAAACUAUUCGGUUUUACACUUUGUAAUUGUGGGGUGUUUAAAACUCCCUCAGAAAAGAUCUUCAAUUUAGGACAUACUUCCACAACUACUUCUUCCAAAUAAGGGAAGUUGAAGGUGUAACUCCCUCGACAAAAGCUUGUGAGCCUUCGUAGAUAGCUUAGUUUCAAGCAUUUCAAUUUACCAACAACUAUUGUUUGACGGUAGUCUCCCUCGUGUGCCACUAUUUCUGUCAUUUUAGUGCAGCUGCUUACCUCCAUUGUUGUUAAUUGCACAAGACUCUCAACUAUUAAGGGUGUAGCUAAGUUUGUCAUCAUUGGGCAAUAUGACACCUUUAAAGUUGUGAGAUUUUUAAAAGAUAAUGAGGAGGCUCCAAUAUUGAUCAAAUCAUCACAAAACAUAACUGUGAGUGUUUGGAGAUUAGAAAGAAUAUGGCCAAGCUCUGAAUCUUUCCUCCACAUACGCUGCAGAUUUCUGAGAUGAGACAAAUUCAAUUUUUUUAUUCGUGACGGAGUCCCAACGUCUCCCUUACAAGGGAGUCCAUCUCUGAAACUAAAAAGCUCAAGAUCAAGACUUUCCAGAUUGCAGAUUUUUCUCAGGAAAGGAAAUAUAGGAAAUCCAUCCCCGAAGCCACCAUUCACUUUAAGAACUUUAACGUGGUGAAACAAGUUCAGUGGAAACUGGCCUUCAUCACUAAGACGUCGUAACUCAAGUUGUUCUAAAUUGGGAAUGACCUAGGAAACCAAUUAAACAUUAACAGAUGAAGCUCAAUGUUGAUGUACAUGCUUAAAUAAAACCAAUGUACAGGAAUAGGAUUUUUUUUAUUUUAAGAAAUCAGAAUAGCUUAUAAAUGAAAAAUGAUUAAAAAAAAAAAACACAACUUGAAAAUAAAAAAGACAAGAAAUCAUUGUUUCUGAUUAAAACAAAAGGUUUUAAAACGCUAAUAUAAUAAUACAUGACACUUGUACUUCCUUAAUUGCUUUCAACACAAUAAGCUCUUCUCUGACUCACUUUCUUUCCAUCUUACAUCCUUUUAAGAGGUAUAAAAAUCUUCAAAUAAAGUCUUUACACGUAUGAGUAAAAAAUAAAUGAAUUUUAACGUAUUUAGAAUAAAAUAUAUAUGAGAAUUGAAUCAAAUAUUACUUGAAAAUAAAAAAUAAAAAAUAAAAAUAUAGUUUGAAACCUAAUAUACAACAUUUGAGAAAUCCUUAUUUGAGCACUUUUAAAAAGGUUCUUAUUUGCGUACUUUCAAAACAUUUUGGUCCUUAUUUGACCAUUUUAAAAGAUUUGAUUCUUAUGUGAGUAACCCUUUAUUUGAAAAUUUAACCUUUUUUAUCCUUGUUCGGGUGUUUCUUUCUAUUUUUUUCCAAAAAAAAAAAAAAAGGUAAACUACACUUAUGGUCAAUCUAAAGUAAGAUCUAUCUUAUUUUGAUCACUCUAAUUUUUUUUUUCUCAAUUUAACCACUCUAAAUAAGAUAAUUGUACGAAUUAAUCACUGAUGUUAAAAUUUUCAUUUUAUUUUAGUAGAUUGUUGGUGUAGCAUAUCAGUCCAUUGAACGAUUGACAUGUGGCUUUUUUUUGGCUUUUAACUAAAGAGUUAAUGGGGGGAAAGUUUUGGACUAAUUAUAGGAAUGUCCUAUUUUUUUAUGUACUUUUUGAGAUUUUUUUUAUAUUUUUUAAUUUAUAUAACUAUUUAUUUAUAUAUACAUAUUAAUUUUUAGGUUCAAGACUAAAUUGAUAGAAUAUGUAAAUAUUGGUUGUUAAAAUUAUCAAAAUGUUAGAAUCAAGACUAUUUAUCACUCAUUAACAUUAAAUAAGAGUGUGAUUGAUAAACCAUUAAAAAAUUUCAUUUCAUUGAAAAUGACAAUUUUCAACAUUUAAUUUUUUUAAUUGUGUUUGAGAACCAUAUCACCAUUUUACUUAAUAUAAAAAUUUUAACAAAAAAAAUGUUAGAACAUAAUAAGUAGAUAACUAUUUAUCACUUAAUGUGAAAAAUAGUAAGUUGAUUUUACUUUUGAAAUAAAUUAUUUCCUUUUUUUUUUUUUGAAAAAUAAAAAAACAACUUUUUAUUUAAAGAUAAUAUGAAAGUAUAAAAAGAUAAAUAUUAUCAUAAUAAUAUUAAUUAUAAUUUAAAAGAAUGAAUAUUAUGUAAUUACAUAAUUAAAUUGGUGAUCUGAUUAAGGGUAAUUCUAACUCAAGUAAAAUGCUUAAAUAUAAAUAUUAGAUAGAUAGGUCUAAUAUAAGACUUCAGUUAAUUAAAUUGCAUUAUAACAACAUAAGAUGCAUGUGAUGAUGAAAAGAAAUAUAUUUGUAAUGAUAUACAUACCUCUUCGACCACCACAACUGCCUCCCCAUUUCCCUUUCUUUCUUGGAUUCUAACAUCUUCUAAACCCAUUAUCAUUAGCAAAGCAGAACCAUCUGUGGUCAAUUUUUUCAACAUUGGCCACACAAUUGCAUGUUGCCCUUUAUAGAAACAUUUGAGCUCUUUUAGGGAUGUAACCUCAAGUGAAGACACUUCGGGAAACUCAAACCUCACAGGUUGAUCCUCUACUCCUUUCCCUUCCGAUACAAUCUCCUCCACCCCACAAUCACGUAUGCUUAAAUCUUCAAGUUGUAAAAGAUGUUUAGCUAUAGAUGCUGGAAAUAGAUUUUUCAAAAUCUCACACCCUGAAACACUUAAUUCUCGUAGAUGUUGAAAAGAAUUUGGUGGUAGGUCAGUAUGAAAUAUCAUCUUCACAUUACUCAACUUGGAGAUUGUCAUCGUUUCCAAGCUAGGAACAGCAACCUAUUCAUAUAUAUAAUUCAUGCCCAUAAGAAAGUUAGCUCAUAUAAUGCAGGGGCAAAAAUUAAAAAAUAAAAAAAGGACGAAUUAACUGAAUCAUAUAAGAGUGUAAGACUAAUGAAAUAAAUAAAUCACCUUCUCAUUGAAGAGAGUAUGCAUGCCGGACUCAAUACUGCUUUCACUAAUGAAUUCUUUUAAUUUCGGGCAACACCCAAUCGUUAGCUCUUUCAACGAAGGGAAUUCGAUAUUAUAAUUUCCUGAGCAGAAGGAGAUGAGGUUUGGAAGGAAAUCCAUACGCAGAAAGUUUAAUCGGCGGAAACAAAUCACAUUAUUCAUUUCUUCUUCUUCUUCUAUUUCCUCUGUAAAUAUUAUCUCCCUUAAGGACUCACAAUGCACUAUCUCAAAGCGGUGGAGCAGCACCAGACUCCUGGCGACAGAGGGUGAUAACAGAUGCUCCAACUUGCCGCAUCCACUGAUGAUCAACCUCCUCAAAUUCGAAUAUGUCUGCUUGUGCCAUAUUAUGUUGUUGUUAAUGGAAUGAUGGAAAACAAGUUGCAUACAUUUACAAACAAUUCUUUUCUUCUAAAAAUCUAAAUGGAAGGGAAACGAAAAGAUAAUACGUAACAUAAUUUGGAAAUAUGGUUUUCGAUUUUAAAGAAUUUUAGUUCGAACUGUGAAAUCCAAUUACAUUUUCAUAAUUUUUGUGUAUUGAAUUGAUUUUGGAUUUUCGAUCAGUUUGGAUUAAAAUUUAAAUUUUGGGUUUAAAAUUUAUUUUGUAACCUUAAAAACCAUUGGAUAAUUAAUUAUUUUAUUAUUAGAAAUUUAAGGUUAGUGGAUCAAAUAAUUAUUUAAUAAUUAUAACUUUUUGAUGAUGUCACUAAAUAGUUGCAGUAUAAAUAAAAGUUGUAAAAGAAUAUAUGAAUAAUGUCAAACAAAUACCUGAUUAAUUAAAAGUGGUUGGGGCUCAAAACUCGUGGAACACCUUUCCUCUUGACAGCAAAAGCUAAUAAGUUGCGGCAGCUGCUCAAGUGUUAUGGAACGUAAUUCAGAAAACUUAAUUUUGUUCAUUGUGAUAUAUUGCACCUGCAUACCAUUUCGGACAUGAAGAGACUGUAAAUGUGGAAAAUCGUUCCCUUUAUUUAACUCUGCAAGUACAUUCUUGAUGCCUUCAAGUCCUUUUAGGUCUAGGUACAAAUCUUCAGCCUUUCCCAGCAACAUUUUCACCCCAUUAUCCAAACAAAUGUUUGAAUAUAACUGGAGCGCCAAUCUCCUUGAACAUUCAUGUCUUGGAGGCCAGUUGGAUAUAAGAUGAUCACCUACAAAAAUCCUGUAUCUGUUCAAUGUCUCAAUGAAUCGAUGCUUUGGAAUCAUUUGGAUAUCAGGAAUACGAACAUAUAAAGUAGUUAGACGAGACAAAUUGUUUAAUUCAUCAAGGCUUGCAUUUCUCCUCUCGUUGUCAACAACUCCUUCAUUUUCCCAUUCAACAAAGCUUCCCUCCAUAUAUAAUUCUUCUAAUUUAGACAAACUUGAUAAGACAUUUGGCGGGAUGAUUUUGAGUGCUCCACACCAACUCAAAUCUAACAACCGUAACCGAGUCAAUUGUGCUAUCUUCUUGGGUAAUUCUUUGAUCCUUGACAAGGCAAGGUCAAGGAUUUCUAAAUUUUUAAGCUCUCCAAUGAUUGUUAUGUCUUCAACUCGCCAUCCUCUUAAACACAACAUGCGAAGAUUUAUGAGGUUAAUAAUUGACCCCGGUAGGUGAAUAAUUGACCCCGGUAGGAAGGUAAAUGAAAGUUCGUGAGGUAAAUCCAAGACUUCGAGACUUUUAAUUCGUCCGAAAAAAUCGGGAGGAAUUGCCACUGAAUCAUCAUGGGCCAUAUGGAAAAAGGAAAGACCUGAAUACUCCAUCUCCCUAGGAAGCUCGGCUACAAUUUGAGGACAAGGUAAGCUUAUCACUCUCAAGCUGUUCAUUUUCGCCUUAUCGGACCACUCCUUUGGAAUAUGAUCUCUCAAAACAAGCAUAUGGUAGUCCUUCGAUGCAAUAGCUAAAGCAGCAUCCCAAACAACAUCAUGGAUAUCAAAGUGCUCAUCAUCAUAACUAUCAAGCAACAGGGAAGACGCUUUGAGAUUAGCCACAACCGUCAAUACUUCAUUUCUAGCUUCUUCCAUAGUGUUGACACCACCAAAUAAACCCAAACCCACAGUAUAUCUCAUCAACUUCUCAACCAGACCAUUAUGGCCUAUUACACAGCAAAGCAAGAAAGUCAGCUUAACUUCCUCACUUUCUAAAUAAUUAAAACUCCACUCAAUAGCUGAAUAUGCUGCAGCUAUCCCCGUGAAGUUGCUUGAUGAAGGCCUCUCUAGUUCUCGUAAAGCAUUCUUCCACUCAAACAAUCUUUUGUUUCUCAAAGCCCCUGCAACUGUCGCAAUGGCUAUGGGCAAUCCUGCACAUUUUUUGGCUACUUCCAUAGCUAUAGGCUUCGAAUCGCAACUUUCAACACAACCGCCAGCCUUCUUCUUGAACAGGUCCCAGGCCUCCUUUUCAUUUAGAAACCCUAUUGCAAAACAUUUCUGAGCAUCCAUCCCAUUUGAUAAAACAUUUAGCUCUCUAGAAGUUAGCAGCAACUUGCAUCCCUUGUGCUCAUCUCCCAAAGGGAUCCCAACUUCCUCAAUAUCAACCUUUGCCCAAAUGUCAUCCAAGACAACCAGAACCCUCUUCUCUUUCUUCAAUCUUUCUCGUAGUCGAAGUGCCUUUACAUCAGUACUCGGCUCCUCAAAAUUCAAGCCCAAUAACUCUGCAAUUCUGUUCUGAAUUUUCUCAAUAUCAAUGGUUUGAGUUACUGUUGCUAUGACAACCGAAUCAAAUAAAUUGCCCUUGACCUUUCUAGCGAUUUCUUUGACUAGCAUUGUUUUUCCGAUCCCACCCAUACCGUGCACCCCAAUAACGCUGACGCUAUCAUCAUUUAGUGCCUCCAUUAUUCCAUUCAAAACCAACGUUCUUGACUCGAAAUCCUCGUACCCUUUAACUGGUGGGACAGCGAUACCUUGCAGAGGCAUAGGAUAAGAAACCUCGUCAAACUUGCCCUGUUCAAGUAGCUCGGCAACAGCCUUCGCCUCCGCUGCAGCUUUCAGGCUAUGCUUGUAACGAGUCCAAAAAUUAGGACACAAACCAAUGAAACACUUUUUCUUUGCUUUUUCUUCAUCUUGCAUCACUUUCUCUACUUGUUCAGUGAUCUUCCUGUCCACUGCAGACAACCAUUUGUCAACAUCGCCUUCGAUCUCUUUGCCGUUUCGUAAAGCUGCAUCAACAGAAUGCUGUACUCUGUCCCUUGCAUCUUUCAGCUUCUCAGCCUUGUCCUUGAGGGUCUCAACAUUUUGCUGAUGAUUGGAAAGGUAUUUGACAUGGUUUAUGAUAGGAGAAAUCGUAUACUCUGCAGCUUUAGUGAAAAUAGAGCUAACGAUGCCAAUAACGAACUCCAUUGAGAGAGCAAACAGCAAGUAAACUGAAAAACCACAGCCGCAACAGAAAUCAAAACAAAACCAGAAGAAAAAAGUACAAGUAAAAAUAAGUAAAAAGUAGAGCUUCUGUAAACAAACAAGUAAGACCAAAAUGAAAGCAGAUGGCGUACUUUUCCAAAAUGAAAAUAAUUUGCCUUAACGGAGUAAAGCGAGUAGUAAUUUGAGAAAAGGCAAGUCAAUGAAAAAGUAAGCAAGUUUCAAUUGUAUUGUAUGUUCAAAAAGCAUGCAUUACUUUCGCGGAUACAACGAAAAAGUGAAGAAGACAACAGACAUGAUGACCCAACACGCCCAUGCUUUUUCAUUUAUUGCAAUUUUUUUUUGUACACUAAUUGUGAAAAACUAUUUUCAUUUUUUUAAAAUUAUUCUCUCUUUAGUCAUGUGACAUUAAUUCAAUAUUAUUUUAUACUCAUUUUAGUCACCUAAUUUUAAUAAAUUUUUAUUUUGAUCACUCAUUUCAUGUUUUAAAUUAAUUUUAUUUUUUUCAAAAAAAUAUUUUUCUUUUUCUUUGCAACUCCAUUUUCUAUAAAAACCAAGAUAAUUCAUUGAAAAAACUCAAGUUUUUCUCUUGUUAAUGAAUAAAAACUAAAAUGAAAUUGCAAUAACAUUAAAUUAAAUUUAUUGGUGAGUGGCCAAAAUAAAAACAAUUUUAAUCCUAAACCCUAAAAUAAAAAUAAAUUUUAAUAAUAGUGCCUAAAAUGAAAAUUUUUAUUUUUUAGUACUAAAAAUAAAACUUUUUGACAAACUGUGACCAAUUAUAUAGUUUUCCCUAAAAUACUUUAGCUUGAUUAAAAUAGCCUUAUCUUUUUUUAACUUUAUUUUUUAUUUAUUAAUUUACAUUCUAUUUUUGUAAAGGUCACGAAAGAAAGGAGCAAGGUGUGACCAAUUAUUGAGUUGGGGGCUUAAUGGGAAUACUAGGCUAUUUUACUAAAAUAGUCUAAAAAAAUAUUAUAUUUAUAAAAAUAACUCAAGUUUAAAAAUAAUCAUGAAAAUAAUUAUGUUUACAGAAUAAUCACCUAUGAUUGUCUGAUAAUUGUGUCAGAUUUUAAAAAAAUAAUUUUUUGGGUUUUGGCCUGUUAAUGGGCGGAACUCGUGUAUUUUUUUAAAUUGUAUAAUAUUAAUAUAAGAAAAAAGAAAAAGAACAAAAAAUUGGGUGCUGGCCUGUCAAUGGCCUGCACCGAGUACAGCAGAGUAAAAAAAAAUUUUUUUGGGUGCUGGCCUGUCAAUGGCUGACACCCAGUACAGUAAAAAAAUUCGAAUUUUGGUCUAUCAAUGACCGGCACCAAAGUAUGAAAAAAAGUAAAAAAAUAUUUUUUUUGGGUGCUGGCCUGUCAAUGGCCGGCACCCAGUACAGUAAAAUUUUUUUUUAUUUUUUUUAAAAAUAUAUAUUUUUUAGUAUUGACUUAUUAAUGGCCUACACUCAGUACGGUAAAAAAAUUUACUUUUUUUCCUUUGUACUUAUUGUAUGUUCAAAAAACAUGUAUUACUUUCGCGGAUACAACUAAAAAGUGAAGAAGACAACAGAUAUAAUGACCCACCACGCCGAUGCUUUUUCAUUUAUUGCAAUUUUUAUUCGUACACUAAUUGUUGUUGAAGUUAGGUAGCAUUAAAUGUUGGGUAAAUUCCACAAUUGGUCAUUUAGGCAUUGCAGUCAAAAAUUAUUUUUAAAAUCUUUAGUCACGUGACAUUAAUUCAAUAUUAUUAUAGACUUAUUUUAAUCACCUAAUUUUAAUAAAUUUUUAUUUUAAUCACUCAUUUCAUGUUUUAAAUUAAUUUUAUUUUUUUUCAAAAAAAUACAUUCCUUUUUCUCUGCAACUCCAUUUCCUAUAAAAGCCCAAAUAAUUCAUCAAAAAAACCCAAGUUUUUCUCUUGUUAAUGAAUAAAAACUAAAAUGAAAGUGCAAUAACAUUAAAUUAAUGGUGAAUGGCCAAAAUAAAAACAAUUUUAACCAUAGUGCCUAAAAUGAAACUUUUUAUUUUUUAGUACCAAAAAUAAAACUUUUUGAAAAACGGUGACCAAUUAUAUAGUUUUCCCUAAAAUAUUUUAGCUUGAUUAAAGUAGACUUAUCUUUUUAUAACUUUAUUUUUUAUUUAUUAAUUUAUAUUCUCUUUUGGUAAAUGUGACAAAAGAAAGGAACAAGGUAUGACCAAUUAUUGAGUUGGGGGCUUAAUGGGAAUACUAUUUUGGUACUGUGUUUUGCAGGUAAAUUCGAAAAAAGAUAUUAUAAAAAUCUGUUGGAAAAAUAUCAACACAUAGAUCAAAAGCUAUCAACAUAUCUAUAUAACUAUUUAUAUAUAUGGCUAAAUUAGCCAAAAAAAGCAGAUUUAAAAAAAAAAUUGUUGUUUAGGCCCAUGUUUGACAUAUUUUUCGUAAUAGUUUAAUUUUUAAUAGAAAAACUAAAAAUGUGUAAGAAAGCACGAUACCCUUACCCUUACUUGACAUCGACAUUAAUUUAAACUUUAAAGUUUAAAAAAACUUAACAAAAAUCAAAAGUAUUGGUACACUUGACAUCGACAUCAAUUUGAAUUUUAAAGUUCAGAAAAAUUGAACAAAAAUUAAAAAUAUUAAUACACUUGAGAAAGUAUCGAUACUUUUCACCAUGUAUUGAUACCAUCAUCAAUCUUUCAAAAUUCUAUGUUUUUUUUUUGUUCAUUUUCAUAUGUAUUUUUCUUCUCAUAUUUUACCAUUUCUCAACCUGUUUGUUUACCUUACAAGUUUAUCAUAUCUAAAACAUGAUUUUAGCAAAGCUGCUAUUGUGGAACCAAAAAUAUUUUGUAUUUAUGAUUUAAAUGAAGGAAAUUUUUUUUUACUAUUUCUACAUUUCACAUUACUUUUUUGUGAAAAAAAUUAGAAAGUGGGAGACUUUCAAGUAAAUGUUGGGGAAAAGCAGGAUCAAUCAAUGAAGGAUAGUUUCAGCAAGGUCCCCAUAGUGGAGCCACCAUUGAUAAUUUCCUUUCAUUUUUGGAAAACAAUAGAAAAAUGUAAGUUUUGAUUUAAAAAAUGAAUGUAAUUUUUUUUUUGAGAUGAUAUUAAGAAAAUAUACAACUAGUUACACGAAAAAACUACUGAAAACCAAAACUAUUAGCUUUAUCCAUGUCUAAGAUUUCUUGAAUCUCUCUAGGAGAAGAAUCAAGUAUUUGCAACUCUUCCUUUCUUCUAAGAGCCAAUUUGGUUAUAGCGUCCACAACCUAAUUAUUCUCCCGAGAUAUAUGUUUUACAGGCCACUAGCCUUCGUGAGUCAAUAGGUAUUGGAUCCUCCUGAUUAGAGCAAAAUUCAAUAUGGUUGAUAUGCUAUCUUGAAUUGAUUUAAUAGCCUCCAAAUUAUUUGAUUGGACUAUCACCUUAUCAUGCCAAUCUGUUUCAUAGUAGGUUAAUACCAACCAAAAUGUUCCAUAAUUCAGUGUCAAAAGUUGAGUACUUCCCCAAAUGAUGAUUAUAUCCGAGAAUCCAAAACAAUGAAUAAAGCAAGAACUUUUAGGUUAGUUUUGAAAAAAGUCAAAACAAAAUAAUAACGUGGUAUGUUUGAAAUUAGUCCCUUUAUUUUUCUUUAUAAAUUUGAAAUUUUGUCAUGAUACUUUUAUUUUAAAGAAUUUAGUCUAUUUAUUUUUACAUUUCAAAAUUUAAGUCUAAACUAUUAGUAUUGUUAAAAUUAUUUUAUUAAAUUCAAGUUCAUUAUAAUAAUGUUAUUUCCUUAAUUACAUUGCUAUCAAGUAGGGGAGAAUCCAAAAGGGUAGGCAAAGGCCUUGAUCUCUUGGAUAAUAUUGGUAAAUCCUGGCUUCGCCUUUGGUAUCCAAUGAGUUUUUUUUUUUCUAAAGCAUGUAAUCAAUCAACAAUUUAUAGAGUUAAAUAAGUCGUUUUAAGAUUUGAUAAAAUUUUAUUUUUUAAAAAAACUAAAAAAUUUAUAGAGGACUAAAUAAGACUGCUUGGAAUAGGAAUUUGCGAAUUUUGUGUUCUUCAAUAUUUAAAUCGACUAAAAACAUAAAAGCUUAUGCCCUACCAGUUUUUGUACUUUUAGAGAGAGAAAAAAGAUUCAAAUAAAAAUAUUUAAUAGUAGAAUUUCUCAUUACUAAAAUUUUAAUAAAUUAAUACAACCAAUAAAAUUAAUUUAAUAAAAUAAAAAUCAAUUAUGGUUUGAAUAUUUAUUAUUUAAAACAAUAAGUGUUUCCUUAUCUAUUAAGUGUUUGGUGGAUGUUCAAUUCUUUUGUCAAUUUUUGCUCGCCGCUUUGGGCUAUCCGAGGCUAAUUUCCUUAUCUAAGUGUUUGCAACCAUUUCAGAUAUGUCGUGCUUGAGUUGUGACAAAGUUAAUUGUCAACGUGUCAUAAUGUUCUAAAGCCUUAGAAUUCAAUUAAACAUAAACAAGUCAUGCCCAAAUUUGGUGUUUGAUUUUUAUGAUUAAAUCCUAACAAAAUCAAUAUUAAAUCAAACGAAUCUAGAAUAGAUGGAUUUUUUUUUGUUGUUUUAAAAGAUCAUAAUACCUUAUAAAAAUUACACACCAUGAAAGUGGAAAGAAGAAUAGGAAGUAUGAUUUAAAAUUGAUAAACUAGCAUUGUUUAUGUAAUAGCCCGAUUUUCAGAAAUGUUGAAAAUAGUGGUACGAGAUCAUCAAAUUCAGAAAAUAAGCUCGUAAAUUUUAUUAUCAAUAAUUACGAGCCAAAUAUGAUUUUUAAGAGAUUUUUAAAUUAGUAAUUUGUAUUUUAUAAAAAAUUAUUAAGUCAAUAAAUUGAGGAAAAGAGUUAUCGAGACUUCGAUGUUAUAAACUGAGCCGUAAAUAUUUUUAUAAAUAUUUACGGAGUGUCAAUAUGGUAGUGUUAAAGUUCCGUCAGAAAAUUUUAAUGUUUUUGCAGUUAAUUAAUUAAAAAGAACUAAAUUGAAAAGAUGCAAAACUUGCUAAAGUGAUUAAAUAGCUUAACAAUUAAAUAAGGAAGGACUAAAAGAGAAAAUGGACCAAUUUAAGUGGCUGAGAUGGCAUACCGUUAAAAAAAUCUAACAUUUUUAUGUAUUAAGGACAAAUUUGGAAUUACAAUAAAGUUUAUGUGGCCAAAUUUUAUUUUAAGCAUUUCAAGACCAUUUCUUCUGGAAAUUUCGGUGGGAGACAGCCAUGGAAGAGGGUUUGGAGCUGGUAUUCCAUAUUUUGGCUUCAAGUAAGUUUAAUUCUUGCUUUGUCCUUGAAAUUUUUAUAUUUUUAGACUUUUACAAUUAGGUCCAACUUAGUAUUCUACUAGUUUCUCAUUUUGUUGAAAGUUUUGGAAGAUACUAAUGAUAAGUUCAUAUGAUUUUUGUUAUUUUGUGAUGAAAUUGAGAUGUUAAUGGAUGUUUAAAGGUGUUUUAUUAAAGAAUUUUAGAUGAAAACAAGUUUUAGGGAUUAAAUUGAAAAGUAUUGAAAUCAUGAAGAAAUUCUAAAAUUUCAUGGAAUCCAUGGGCUGUUAUUGAUAUGUAUGGGAAAUACUAGGCUUGAAUCAAGGAUUAUAUUGCAAGAAUUUCAUUUUCCAAGCCUAGGGACGAAAUUAUCAUAUAUUAAAAGUUUAGAGUCAAAUUGGUAAUCAAUAUAUUACACUAAACAGUUUUGGGCAGCAGCAGUGGCCUAAUUUUGAAAAAUCACCAAAAAUUGUGAGAAUUGAAAUAGAAGAUGAAUAAAAUAUAAAAUUAAAGCUUAUUGAGUCUAGUUUUUUUAUAGAAGAAAUGGUGUGAGCAAUGGAAUUGUAAAUUAUAAGAUAUAAUAAGUUUUGUGAGACAAUGUCAGAAUGAUUUGGGGUUUCCCUGUUCUGAUUUUGGAAAAUCAUCAAAAAUUUAAGAAAAAUAUUUAUGAGCUAUAAUUUAUAUGUUUAGAAUCCUUGGUGAGUCUAUUUUCAAAUGAAAUAAACGGAAACAUCAUCUGAAUUCUGUACAAUUAGAUAAUUCAUUUUUAGUAGAGAGUGGUCGGAACUGUCAGACAGCAAAACAAGAGAAACUUUAAAGAAUAAAUUGUAUUAAUUUGCUAAACCAAAAAUUCUGAAAAUUUUAUGGUAAGAAGAUAUGUGAGUCUAGUUUCAAGGAAAUUUUACGGAUCUUAAUUUGGAGCUCUUUAGCUCCAGAUAAAAAUAAUUGACUCUGACUCGGAUAAACAGCUUUGAAUAUAUAUGUGAGUGAAUAGUGAAAUUAUAGUUAAUGUUGUUUAAGCGUGUUAUAUACAUUAAGGAUGUGGAAUGGAGAGGAGGAGGAGAAAAAUUGGAAAAUAUAUGAUUGAUUUGUGUAUAAUUGGUCAUAGGCUUGAUUAUAAUUGAUAAAUGAUGAAAUCGAAAUGAUGCUUGUAUUUGUGCAUUAUUGGUCAUGGUAUAAGUUUAUGUGUGAAAAUAAAGUUUCAUAGUAUGUUUGUAUGGUAUAUUCCGUAUAUGAUUUGGCAUGAAUGGUUUAUGAAUUAACACAUGUUGGCUUUGGCCAAGUAGUGAUUAGAUUAUGCCACGUUAAAUUUAUAAGUUAUGCACCACGCCUAUGCUUUUUCAUUUGGCCAAGUAAAAAUGAACAAAAAGUAAAGCUUCUGUAAACAAACAAGACAGAACAAAUGAAAGCAGAUGGCGUACCUUUGCAAAAUAUAACAAGUGUAUUGUAUGUUCAAAAAACAUGUAUUACUUUCGCGGAUACAACUAAAAAGUGAGGCUAUUUUACUAAACUAGUCUGAAAAAAUAUUAUAUUUAUAAAAAUAAUCCAAGUUCAAAAAUAAUUAUUAAAAUAACCUAAAAUGAACAGCACCCACUCGUUUUUUGCACCAAUGAUUGCCUAAUAAUUGUUUCAGAAUUAAAAAAUUAAUUUUUUGGGUUUUGGCCUGUCAAUGGCCGAAACCCAUGUAUUUUUUUUAAAUUGUAUAAUACUGAUAUACGAAAAAGGAAAAAGAAAAAAAAUAAAAAAAUUAAAUUUUUGGGUGAAGGCCUGUCAAUGGCCGGCACCCAAUAGUAACAAAAAAAUUUUUGAAUUUUUUUCGUGUCAGAAUCAGAUAUCAGUAUACGAAAAAAGUUGAAAAAAAUUUUUUUGGGUGCUGGCUUGUCAAUGGCUAGCACCCAGUACAAAUUUUAAAAAACAAUUUUUUUUCUUUUUUUCGUGUAAAAAUCAGAUAUCAGAAUACAAAAAAAGUAAAAAAAAAUUUGGGUGCUGGCAUGUCACUGGCCGACACCCAGUACAAAUUUAAAAAAAUUUCUUUUUUGCGUGUAAAAAUCAUAUAUCAGUAUACGAAAAAAGUUAAAAGAAAUUUUUUGGGUGCUGGCCUGUCAAUGGCCGGCACCCAGUACAAAUUAAAAUUUUUUUCGUGUAAAAAUCAGAUAUCAGUAUAUUGAUAUCUGAUUCUGACAUAAAAACAAUUCAAAAUUUUUUUUGUUACUAUUGGGUGCCGACCAUUGACAGGCCAACAGCCAAAAAAUUAAUUUUUUUCUUUUUUUCUUUUCUUUUUUCGUAUAUCAAUAUUAUACAAAUUAAAAAAAAAUACAUGGGUUUCGGCCAUUGACAGGCUAAAAUUCAAAAAAUUAAUUUUUUUAAUUCUGACACAAUUAUUAGGCAAUCAUUGGUGCAAAAAACGAGUGGGUACUGUUCAUUUUAAGUUAUUUUGGCGAUUAUUUUUGAACUUGGGUUAUUUUUAUAAAUAUAAUAUUUUUUUAGACUGAUUUGGUAAAAUAGCCAAAAAGUGAAGAAGACAACAGACAUGAUGACCCACCACGCCUGUGCUUUUUCAAUUAUUGCAAUUUUUAUUCGUACAAUAAUUGUUGAAGUUAGGUAGCAUUAAAUGUUGGGUAAAUUCCACAAUUGGUCAUUUAGGCAUUGCAGUCAAAAACUAUUUUCAUUUUUUUAAAAUUAUUCCCUCUUUAUAGUUAAUGUUGUUUAAGCGUGUUAUAUACAUUAAGGAUGUGGAAUGGAGAGGAGGAGGAGAAAAAUUGGAAAAUAUAUGAUUGAUUUGUGUAUAAUUGGUCAUAGGCUUGAUUAUAAUUGAUAAAUGAUGAAAUCGAAAUGAUGCUUGUAUUUGUGCAUUAUUGGUCAUGGUAUAAGUUUAUGUGUGAAAAUAAAGUUUCAUAGUAUGUUUGUAUGGUAUAUUCCGUAUAUGAUUUGGCAUGAAUGGUUUAUGAAUUAACACAUGUUGGCUUUGGCCAAGUAGUGAUUAGAUUAUGCCACGUUAAAUUUAUAAGUUAUGCACCACGCCUAUGCUUUUUCAUUUGGCCAAGUAAAAAUGAACAGAAAGUAAAGCUUCUGUAAACAAACAAGACAGAACAAAUGAAAGCAGAUGGCGUACCUUUGCAAAAUAUAACAAGUGUAUUGUAUGUUCAAAAAACAUGUAUUACUUUCGCGGAUACAACUAAAAAGUGAGGCUAUUUUACUAAACUAGUCUGAAAAAAUAUUAUAUUUAUAAAAAUAAUCUAAGUUCAAAAAUAAUUAUUAAAAUAACCUAAAAUGAACAGUACCCACUCGUUUUUUGCACCAAUGAUUGCCUAAUAAUUGUUUCAGAAUUAAAAAAUUAAUUUUUUGGGUUUUGGCCUGUCAAUGGCCGAAACCCAUGUAUUUUUUUUAAAUUGUAUAAUACUGAUAUACGAAAAAGGAAAAAGAAAAAAAAUAAAAAAAUUAAAUUUUUGGGUGCAGGCCUGUCAAUGGCCGGCACCCAAUAGUAACAAAAAAAAUUUUGAAUUUUUUUCGUGUCAGAAUCAGAUAUCAGUAUACGAAAAAAGUUGAAAAAAAUUUUUUUGGGUGCUGGCUUGUCAAUGGCUAGCACCCAGUACAAAUUUUAAAAAACAAUUUUUUUUCUUUUUUUCGUGUAAAAAUCAGAUAUCAGAAUACAAAAAAAGUAAAAAAAAAUUUGGGUGCUGGCAUGUCACUGGCCGACACCCAGUACAAAUUUAAAAAAAUUUCUUUUUUGCGUGUAAAAAUCAUAUAUCAGUAUACGAAAAAAGUUAAAAGAAAUUUUUUGGGUGCUGGCCUGUCAAUGGCCGGCACCCAGUACAAAUUAAAAUUUUUUUCGUGUAAAAAUCAGAUAUCAGUAUAUUGAUAUCUGAUUCUGACAUGAAAACAAUUCAAAAUUUUUUUUGUUACUAUUGGGUGCCGACCAUUGACAGGCCAACAGCCAAAAAAUUAUUUUUUUUCUUUUUUUCUUUUUCUUUUUUCGUAUAUCAAUAUUAUACAAAUUAAAAAAAAAUACAUGGGUUUCGGCCAUUGACAGGCUAAAAUUCAAAAAAUUAAUUUUUUUAAUUCUGACACAAUUAUUAGGCAAUCAUUGGUGCAAAAAACGAGUGGGUACUGUUCAUUUUAAGUUAUUUUGGCGAUUAUUUUUGAACUUGGGUUAUUUUUAUAAAUAUAAUAUUUUUUUAGACUGAUUUGGUAAAAUAGCCAAAAAGUGAAGAAGACAACAGACAUGAUGACCCACCACGCCUGUGCUUUUUCAAUUAUUGCAAUUUUUAUUCGUACAAUAAUUGUUGAAGUUAGGUAGCAUUAAAUGUUGGGUAAAUUCCACAAUUGGUCAUUUAGGCAUUGCAGUCAAAAACUAUUUUCAUUUUUUUAAAAUUAUUCCCUCUUUAUAGUUAAUGUUGUUUAAGCGUGUUAUAUACAUUAAGGAUGUGGAAUGGAGAGGAGGAGGAGAAAAAUUGGAAAAUAUAUGAUUGAUUUGUGUAUAAUUGGUCAUAGGCUUGAUUAUAAUUGAUAAAUGAUGAAAUCGAAAUGAUGCUUGUAUUUGUGCAUUAUUGGUCAUGGUAUAAGUUUAUGUGUGAAAAUAAAGUUUCAUAGUAUGUUUGUAUGGUAUAUUCCGUAUAUGAUUUGGCAUGAAUGGUUUAUGAAUUAACACAUGUUGGCUUUGGCCAAGUAGUGAUUAGAUUAUGCCACGUUAAAUUUAUAAGUUAUGCACCACGCCUAUGCUUUUUCAUUUGGCCAAGUAAAAAUGAACAGAAAGUAAAGCUUCUGUAAACAAACAAGACAGAACAAAUGAAAGCAGAUGGCGUACCUUUGCAAAAUAUAACAAGUGUAUUGUAUGUUCAAAAAACAUGUAUUACUUUCGUGGAUACAACUAAAAAGUGAGGCUAUUUUACUAAACUAGUCUGAAAAAAUAUUAUAUUUAUAAAAAUAAUCUAAGUUCAAAAAUAAUUAUUAAAAUAACCUAAAAUGAACAGCACCCACUCGUUUUUUGCACCAAUGAUUGCCUAAUAAUUGUUUCAGAAUUAAAAAAUUAAUUUUUUGGGUUUUGGCCUGUCAAUGGCCGAAACCCAUGUAUUUUUUUUAAAUUGUAUAAUACUGAUAUACGAAAAAGGAAAAAGAAAAAAAAUAAAAAAAUUAAAUUUUUGGGUGCAGGCCUGUCAAUGGCCGGCACCCAAUAGUAACAAAAAAAAUUUUGAAUUUUUUUCGUGUCAGAAUCAGAUAUCAGUAUACGAAAAAAGUUGAAAAAAAAUUUUUUGGGUGCUGGCUUGUCAAUGGCUAGCACCCAGUACAAAUUUUAAAAAACAAUUUUUUUUCUUUUUUUCGUGUAAAAAUCAGAUAUCAGAAUACAAAAAAAGUAAAAAAAAAUUUGGGUGCUGGCAUGUCACUGGCCGACACCCAGUACAAAUUUAAAAAAAUUUCUUUUUUGCGUGUAAAAAUCAUAUAUCAGUAUACGAAAAAAGUUAAAAGAAAUUUUUUGGGUGCUGGCCUGUCAAUGGCCGGCACCCAGUACAAAUUAAAAUUUUUUUCGUGUAAAAAUCAGAUAUCAGUAUAUUGAUAUCUGAUUCUGACAUGAAAACAAUUCAAAAUUUUUUUUGUUACUAUUGGGUGCCGACCAUUGACAGGCCAACAGCCAAAAAAUUAAUUUUUUUCUUUUUUUCUUUUUCUUUUUUCGUAUAUCAAUAUUAUACAAAUUAAAAAAAAAUACAUGGGUUUCGGCCAUUGACAGGCUAAAAUUCAAAAAAUUAAUUUUUUUAAUUCUGACACAAUUAUUAGGCAAUCAUUGGUGCAAAAAACGAGUGGGUACUGUUCAUUUUAAGUUAUUUUGACGAUUAUUUUUGAACUUGGGUUAUUUUUGUAAAUAUAAUAUUUUUUUAGACUAAUUUGGUAAAAUAGCCAAAAAGUGAAGAAGACAACAGACAUGAUGACCCACCACGCCUGUGCUUUUUCAAUUAUUGCAAUUUUUAUUCGUACAAUAAUUGUUGAAGUUAGGUAGCAUUAAAUGUUGGGUAAAUUCCACAAUUGGUCAUUUAGGCAUUGCAGUCAAAAACUAUUUUCAUUUUUUUAAAAUUAUUCCCUCUUUAGUCACGUGACAUUAAUUCAAUAUUAUUAUAUACUCAUUUUAAUCACUCAAUUUUAAUAAAUUUUUAUUUUAAUCACUUAUUUUAUAUUUUAAAUUAAUUUUAUUUUUUUCAAAAAAAAACCUUCAUUUUUGUCUGCAACUCCAUUUUCUAUAAAAACUCAAAUAAUUCAUCGAAAAAAACUCAAGUUUUUCUCUUGUUAAUAGUGAGUGACCAAAAUAAAAAUAAUUUUAACCGUAGUGCAUAAAAUGAAAAUAAUUUUUAAUAAUAGUUCAUAAAAUGAAAUUUUUUUAUUUUUUAGUACCAAAAUAAAACUUUUUGAAAAACGGUGACCAAUUAUACAAUUUCCCCUAAAAUAUUUUAGCUUGAUUAAAGUAGCAUUAUCUUUUUAUAACUUUAUUUUUUAUUUAUUAAUUUAUAUUCUCUUUUGGUAAAGGUGACAAAAGAAAGGAACAAGGUAUGACCAAUUAUUGAGUUGGGGGCUUAAUGGGAAUACUAUUUUGGUACUGUAUUUUGGAGGUAAAUUCGAAAAAAGAUCUUAUUAAAAUCUGUUGGAAAAAUAUUAACACAUACAUCAAAAGCUAUCAACAUAUCUAUAUAACUAUUUAUAGCCAAAAAAAACAAAGCAGAUUUUUUAAAAAAAAUGGUUGUUUAGGCCCAUUUUUGACAUAUUUAUGGUAAUAGUUUAAUUUUUAAUAGAAAAAGUAAAAAUGUGUAAGAAAGCACGAUACAUUUACCCUUACUUGACAUCGACAUCAAUUUGAACUUUAAAGUUCAAAAAACCUUAACAAAAAUUAAAAGUAUUGAUACACUUAAGAAAAUAUCGAUACCUUUCACCAUGUAUUGAUACCAUCAUCAACUUUUCAAUAUUCUAUCUAUGUUUUUCUUUUGUUCAUUUUCAUAUGUAUUUGUCUUCGCAUAUUUUACCAUUUCUCAACUUGUUUGUUUACCCUACAAGUUUAUAUAUUUAAAACAUGAAUUUAGCAAAGCUGCUAUUGUGGAACCAAAAAAUAUUUUGUAUUGAUGAUGAGAUUUAUGGAACUUACAAAUUGGCUAUCAGGCCUUGAAAGAAUGGGUGGUAGUGGUGGUGGCAGCUGCUUCCUUGUGAGGCUGCUAUAGUGGCACUUUCCUUAAACUAAUAUUGUAAAGGUACUCCCAUUUUUAAUGGUAUCUCGCUCUCUCUAUUCUAAUAAUGUUUUCUUUUCUCUCCAUUAAAUUAUAGAAAAAAGAUUUUGGUAUCGGAGGAUUCACCAUGUAUCCAUCUUCUAAAGUUAGGAGAAGACUACCAUUAGAAAGUAGCAUUACACAAAGCAUCUCUCUUUCCCCACAUUGUCGAUAAAUCUCUGUAAUCCAAUUAACAGAUUUAUAAAUUCCAUUGUAACUCUAAACAUAAGAAACAAUACCUGCAAGGGUACGGAUAUUAAAAAUGCAUCAUCCUAGACACAAUGUCAUUUUCUCUCUUCAAAAUCGGCCUAUUCCAAUAAAUAUAUAAAAAAUAAGCCUAAACAACCAAAUUUUUUCUUAAAUCGGCCUUCCUGACUAAUUUAGAUUUUAUAUAAGAACGAUGAUUUAUGCUUCACAUAAAUUAGAUCAAUAAUCGAAGUAAGUAUAUAAGUGGGUGUGAACUUAUUAAAAAUAUCAAGAAAGUAACAUAUAUAUAAUUAAAUAUAUAAUUAGUUAACUAAUGAGGUGUCACAAAUACUAGAGUGCUACGUUCAAAAUUGAAAAAAAUUAUUAAAUUUUAAAAUUAUGUGAAAAAAAAUUACAGAUCAAAUUAAAAGAAAAUGUCAUGUUCGGAACUAAAUGUUGACUAACCUUCAUUUAUUAACCCAAAUGUUAAUAGGAUUAAAUAUCUUAAAGUAAUUUUAAUCUCUAAAAUUUAACACGAUUGAAAGUUUUUAAUUUUUUUUAGGCAUAAUAAUAAAUUUAGCUUCUAAUAUUUAUUGUUUUUUACUUUAAUCUUAAUUUUUUAUUGCUUUAACUCUCAACCUUACAAAUAUAAUCAAAUUGUUUUUCACUUUAGUCUUAAUUUUGUUCUCCUCUCUAAUGGGGUUUUCAAGGACAAGAAGAUCAUACUCUCUUAUUGCUCUUAGCUUUCUCACCAUUUCAUUUCUACGUUUAUGAUAAUACUCUAAAAUGACAUAUUUUUAUGUAUUAAUUACAUAUUUAUUUUGAGUACGAUCUUAUUAAUUUGUACUUUUUAUGAUUUUUUAUUUUGUAGGGAUUAAAUUGCAGGCAAAAGGAAUUUCCCCUUCUCACUACAAGUGAGCUUUUUCCCUGUUGCGAUCUCUUUGUUCUGUAUCGGCCUUCCGAGUAACAUGAUUACUAGUCUCUUGUUUAUGUAUGUAUCAGUGGCAUAGAUUGGAAUGAGCCAGGAGUAAGGAAUUGUUCAAGGCAGACGACACCAUUCAAGGGAUCGAUUUAUCCAACUGGUUUGCCUCUGGCAGAGUACGUAGUUAAAGAGGUCAUAAGGAACAUCAAGAAACCUGUUCAUUUGCUUGAUAUUACAAUGCUCUCUCAAUUAAGAAAAGAUGCACAUCCUAGCACUUACAAUGACUUCAACGGCAUGGAUUGCACCCACUGGUGCGUUGCCGGCCUCCCCGAUACAUGGAAUCUACUUCUGUAUGCAGCUCUCAUCAAAUAGUAGAGAAAUUUGGUUCAGGCACUAGCCACCCAACAUAUAUGUGGUCUCCUUAAAUUAUUUAUUUUGCUUACUCAAAAAAGAUCAUAAGAUUAUACAUUGAAAAUAUAAUAAAUUUGUUUACUUCUGUUUGCAGUUCUCAAUUAUGCAUGUGAUGUAAUUCAAUUAUUUAUGGCAUUGGUUUGUUUUCUUCUUGCUUUAGAUUGUUUCUCCUAUUGCCUAAAAAAAGAGAAUUGGUGAUAUUAUGAUUGUGAGGAUGAAUAUGAGAAUCCUGGGAUUGAAGAGAUAUUAGCUUCAACUUUUCAUCAAAAUACUGAAAUAAGUACAUAAUAUUCUUUAUAGAGAGAACAAAAAAAGAAGAAACAAGCACACGCAAAAUGAGUAGCAAUCUUAAUUAAAUCAUCUAAUCCCCCAAGCUGAUACAAAAAUACCAGCAAAAAGUAUAAUGUGGCUGAAAUACAUCCAUAAAACUGGGGUCAACCUUACUACUAAAAGUUUUCAUGUUUGUAAUUCCCAGUGCCAAGCAUGAUGCACUUCAAAAUCAAUACUUUGGUAAUAAUGUGAAAUGCAACAGUUCAAUAGUGGAUUUGCAAAAACAGAAUAAAGGAAAGUGGACGCCCCCAUACUCCAACAGAGCAACUCAACCUACAAUGAAAAAGGCAUUUCCAUGGUCACUUUGUAAAGCAUUAGUUAAGCCAUGAUGAAAAUAGAAGAGUAAAUUACCAUUUGGUUUGAAUUGAAAUGAAACUGAGCUUGUCUCACACGCACCCCAACAUAUUUCCUUAUUUCAUUUGGAGCAACUGAUCAGUAACCUCGACCGCUUGAGAAUUUUGAACAUUCUGUACGUGCGUGAUCAAAAGAAACAAUUAUAAAGAAAGGUAAAACCAACGUUUUCAAAAGUAAAACACUUUAAAAUGAUUGGUACCAUUUGAUCGAACAUAUGCUUUAUGGUGGUGUUAAGGUCGCCUUCCCACUGCAGUUCACCAUCCUCAUCUCUUGUUAAGUGCAUUUGUUCCAGCCUUGGUGUGCUUAACUCCCCUUGAGAGAAAUUCUUCAUUUUGGGGCAGUCUGUCACUAUCACCAUUUGCAAGACUGGGAACUCCAACGAGUGAUGCGCCAAUGAAAAGCUUGCUAUACUUGGCAGAUGACUUAGUUGCAAAUACUUCAGCUUGGGAAAAACAAUGCUGGCCUGUAAGUCUUCACCUUCACAUGAUAUGAUUUCUUCUAUCAACUCAGAAUCAGCUAUGCUCAAUCUUUCUAGUAGUGUCAGGCUCUUAGCUGUCGAGCAUGCCAUUAGAUUGAUGAAUCCAUGGCAUCUUGAAACUUCCAUACUUAAUAGAUUUUUGACAGACAACAAAAAUGGCUCUAAAGUCUUUAAUGUUAGCUCUGGAAGUUGAGACAACCUUAAGGCCUCUAACUGAUAGCAUGCCCAUGUGUGCCUUUCCUCGUUGAUGAGUCCUUCAAACCGGACUAUUUCAGAAAUGGAGGCAUUGUUUAUAACAAGCUUCUCAAGCUUUGGUAGUGACUGAAUGAAGGAAUAUGGAAGAGUAGUAGAUGUCUCAGGAAAGAAUUGGAGGUUAAGAAGUUUGAGGUUUGGGAAACACUGCAAUGAGAGUUGUCCAUCACAUAUCCCCUUUAUCAUAUCAUUCGUCUUCAGUGUUAAUUCUUGUAAAACAGGGAAAGUGUCCUGGACAACAACAAAUAUAUUGAACAUUGACUAAGGAGUUUUAAAUUUGAGUUAGUUCAAAAGGCAACUUAUAGGGAACCUCAUUUGAUUUGAAUAUAAAUUCAAGUAAUGAACAUGGAAUAUAAACUAUCAGUGAGCAGACCUCAUUGACGCAAAACAAGGGUUGUUGGUUUGGGAUUUCAACCUCACCAAAUAUCUGUGCUUUGGGGCAUUCAAUAACCUUCAUAAAUUUCAAUGACGGCCAUUGGGUGGUAUGCAUCCUAGAGCAGAAACUUUUCAAACUCGGCACCUUAUCCAGUCCAAGGUGCGUUAGACGGGGAAAUACAAACUUGGUCAUCACUGUUUCUGCCAUAGUAGACCGAGUAGCUGAUGUUGACUGUGCUUCAUUGGCAUUGAGUGCUUGCAGCUCAAUUAUUUCUUCUAACGAAUCACAGCCCUGAAUCAGCAACUUCUUCAACCAAGGGAAAACAACCUAAUACAUCAUUAGAUUGGGUUAAUAACUGAAAUAUGUUGAAAUGAAAAAGAUUAAUGAAAGAAGUAAAAGGAGAAGAGAACAAUAGUAAAGUAAAAGAGGAAGAAAUGACCUUUUGAUUGAGGACAGCAGAGUUAUUUGUUUGUGUAGGUUGGUGAAUUUGAGUUUCAUCUCCACAUACAGAUUUAGAGAUGAUUGUUCUCAGCAGAGGACAAUUUGUUAGUGUUAAAUCUCUUAAGUAUGGGAAUUCAAAGCCAUUCUCAAAGCAGGUAUCUUUGAGUUUGGGAGGGUCUUCCAGACACAGGGACUGCAGUGUAGGGAACAUCUGAUUCCUCUCUGGUGAGUAGGAUGGGUGGUGCCAUAUCUUAUGAAUGUUAAUGGAGGACAACUUCAGAUUCAUCAAACGGGGAAUGACAACCUGUUGACAUAAAUAAUAUGAGUUUAGAUUUUAUGAAUAUAAAUAACAAUAUAAAUUAUAACACAUUUCUAUUUUCAUCAAAUAAAUUCAGUUGUAUUUUAAGGUUAGAGAAAAAAUUAGAAAAAAUAAUUUGUUUUUAAAAUGUCUUUCAAAUAAAUAUUUAUACUAUUAUUCAAAUACCAAACUUUUAAAACAAAAAUCAUAUAUUAAAAGUAUUAUAUAUGUACUUUAAUUUAUUUUAAAAAUAAGAUAAAAAUUAUUCUAUUGACGAUUCGAGUUUGGAUGCAUACUCAUAUCAGCACAACUAAAAUUUAAAUAAAGUGAAUAAAGUUUACGCUUCGCUCAAAUUCAUCAAAUAGAAAGAUGAUAUGAAUUAAUUAGUUCAGAUAAAGAUUGAAUGCCAAACUGACCUUGUCACAGAAUAAAGCGGCAGUAUCAUCUUCCACAUCUUGCUCGUCAAUCACUUUUUCACUCUUUCUUGAAAUUGUAGAAGAAAAUGCCCUCAUUUUUGCGCACUCAGCUAUCGUAAUAUCCCACAAAUUUGGAAUUUCAAGAGGUCGACUUCCCAAAUAAAAAUUUGUCAAGUUGGAACACAUCUCUAUUUUUACAAAGGAGAGCUUAGGAAAUAUCAAAUUAUGUAUGGUUGCUUCCUCCUCGUCUUCCCUGAUCACUUGUUCCAUUGCAUUGCAUUCUUUUACUUCUAUCCUUCUUAGUUGCUUCAGGCUCAAAAGCAUAGACGGGGUAAAAAUAUAGUUCAAGCUGCUACAUUUAUAAAUCUCCAUUCUGCUAAGGUUCUUCGACUCCAAGAUUUCUUGAGGGUUUCUUUUCCAUAUUUCUAUCAACUUUGGAAACGUGUCAGAGAUGUUCAAAUCAAAUGGGAUAUUGAAUCCACCCUAAAACAACAAAUCCAUCCAUAUUAUUACGCUCAUAAUUCAAAAAUAAACACUCUUUGUUAGUUAGUCAAGUAGGUUUUAAUUUUUUUUAAAAUGAUGAAAGAAUAGGAAAGAAAAUCGGGCACUAACUUUUAUUGUAUCAAGACAGGAGUAAGCUAGAUAGCAUUAUGAACCAACUCCGUACCUUUUUUGUGUACAACUGAUGUAUGGCGGUAUUCAGGUUCCCUUUCCAACACACAUUUCGAUUGUAACGCUCUUGGUUUACUCUUUGUAAUUGCGGGGUGCUUAAAGCUCCCUCAGAAAAGAUCUUCAAUCUAGGACACCUUUCCACAACUACUUCUUCCAAACAAGGGAAGUUGAAGGUGUAACUCCCUGGACAAAAGCUUGUGAGCCUUUGUAGAUAGCUUAUUUCUAAACAUUUCAAUUUCCUGACAACUAUUGUCUGAUGAUAGUCUCCCUCAUUUGUCACUAUUUCUGUCAUUUCAGUGCAGCCUCUUACCCUCAUUGUUGUUAAUUGCACCAGAUUCUCAACUACUAAGGGUGUAACUAAAUUUGUCAUCAUUUUGCAAUUUGACACCUCCAAAGUUGUGAGAUUUUGGAAAGAUAAUGACGAGGCUCCAAUAUUUUUCAAAUCAUCACAAUACCAAAUUGUGAGUGUUUGGAGAUUAGAGAGAAUAUGACCAAGUUCCGAAUCUUUCCUCCAUACAUGCUUAAGAUUUUUGGAAGAACGCAAUUCCAGAUUUUUUAUUGGUGAGAGAGUCCCAACAUCUCCCUUACAAGGGACUACAUGUUUGAAAUCAAAAUAACUAAACUUUAGACUUUCCAAAUUGUAGAAUCUUCGGAAGAGAGGAAAUAUAUAAGAAGAUCCACUAUGGAAGCCACCACCCACGCGAGGGAACAAAUCCAGUGGACAUUGAUUCAUAUCACUAAAAUUUCGUAACUCAAGUGUCUCUAAAUUGGGAAUGACCUAGGAAACCAAGUAAACAUUAACAAAUGAAGCUCAAUGUUGAUGUACAUGCUUAAAUAAAACCAAUGUAGAGUAAUAGGAAUUUUCUUUUUAAAAAUUUAAGAAAACAGAAUACCUUAUGAAUGAAAACUGAUAAUAAUAAUAAUAAUAAUAAUAAUAAUAAUAAACACAAGUAGAAACCCGAAUGAAGAAUAGGAAGUCUGAAUUAAAAUGCACAAGCAAUCAUUAAGUUUCUGAUUAAACAAAAAAAGGCAGAAUAAUGUAAGUUAAAACAAAAGGCUAAUAUAAUACAUGAUACUUUUACUUUUUUAAUUGCCUACAAAACAAUAAUCUCUUCUCUUAAAUGCUCAAAUUAGUGUGCAACCUUUCAAAUGUUGAUAUAAGCCCAACCUUUAUAAAAAUCUUUAAAUGAACAUUUUUCACUUACUGCAAUUCAAGUUGAGUAAAAAAUAAGUGAAAUGUAAUAUAUUUAGAAUAAUAUACAUGACAGUUGAAUCAAACAUUGCUUGAAAAUAAUAUAAUAUAAUAUAAAUAUAAUUUGAGACAUAAUAUACAUUAUUUGAGAAAACCUUAUUUGAGCACUUUCAAAAAAGUUUUGGAACUUAUUUGAGCACUUUAAAAGGUUUGGUUUUCAUUUGAACAUUUUUGUAAAUGUUAGGCUCUUAUACGAGCAUUUUAAAAAUUUUAACUCUUUUGUGAGCAACCCUUAAAAGGUUAGGCCUCUAUUUGAGCAUUUAGCCUUUUUUUUUAUCCACCUUGUCAUAACACUUUGUACUUUUUCUAUCUUUUUCACAAAAAUAAAAGGUAAACUACAACUAUGGUCACUCUAAAAUAGGGUUUGUCCUAUUUUGGCAACUUCAAUUUUUUUCUCAAUUUAGUCACUUUAAAUAAGAUAACUGUGCAAAUUUGUCACUGUUGUUAAUGGAUUGUUAAUGUGACACAUUAGUCUAUUGAGUGACUGACAAGUGGUUUUUUUUUUAUAAACUAAAGUUUAAGCGCAAAAAGUUUUGGACUAAUUAUAAGGAUGCCUUUAAACUUUAGUCAAAAGUCAAUAAAAAAUUUCACUUGUUAGUCACUCAAUGUGCUAAUAUGUCACAUAACAAUCCAUUAAAAGAAAACAAAAAAUUUAACAGUAAUAACUAACUCACACAAUUAUCUUAUUUAGAGUGUCUAAAUUAAAUUUUUUUUUAAAAAAAUUAAAGUUUGAAAUGGUAUUAUUCUAUUUUUAAAAUAUAUCGUCUCAUAUUUUUUAAAUUUAAUUUUUUUAAAAUGUGUUUCAUAACCAUAUUAACAUUUUAUUUAAUAUAAAAAUUAUAACAAAAAAGUGUUAGAAUAUAAUAAGUAAAUAUAUAACUAUUUAUCACAUAAUGUGGAAAAUAGUAAGUAGAUUUUAUUUGUCAAAAUCUUAUUUUUGAAAUAAAUUAUUUCUUCAUUUUUAGAAAAAUAAAAAUAAAAAAUUUAACUUUUAUUUAAAUAUAAUAUAAAAAUAUAAAAUAUUAUCAUAAUAAUAUUAAUUAUGAUUUUAAAAAUUAAUAUUUAUAUAAUUUCAUAAUUCCAAUGAUGACCCUAAACCAGUAAAUACUUAAAUAUAAGUAUUAGAUAGAUAUCUCCAAAGAAAUGCCUAUCAAAGCAAUGUAAGAUUCAGUUAAUUAAAUUGCAUCAUUAUGGCAUAUAACAACAUAACAUGCAUGUGAUCAUAUACGUACCUCUUCAACCAACAAUACUGCCUCCCCAUUUCCCUUCCUUUCCUGGAUUCUAACAUCUUCUAAACCCACUAUCAUUAGCAAAGCAGAACAAUCCGUGGUCAAUUUUUUCAACAUUGGCCACGCAAUUGUAUGUUGCCCUUUAUAGAAACAUUUGAGCUUUUCUAAGUGUUCAACCAUAAGGGAAGACACUUUGGGAAACUCAAAACUCACAGGCUGCUCCUCUACACCUUCCCCUUCCGAUACAAUCUCCUCCACCCCACACCGAAUUAUCCAUAAUUGUUCAAGUUGCGGAAGAUGUUUGGCUAUUAACGCUGGAAAUAUAUUUUUUAGCCUCUCACAGUUUGAAACACUUAAUUCUCGUAGAUUUUGAAAAGAAUCUGGUGGUAGCUCAUUAUGAAAUAUCAUCUUCGCAUUUAUCAACCCGGAGAUUUUCAUCCUUUCCAAGCUUGGAAUUGCAACCUAUUCAUAUAUAUCAUUCAUGCUCAUAAGAAAGUUAGCUCAUGUAAUGCAGGACGAAUCAACUGAAUCAUAUAUAAGACUAAUGAAAUAAAUAAAUCACCUUCUCAUUGAAGAGAGUAUGCAUGCCGGACUCAAUACUGCUUUCACUAAUGAAUUCUUUUAAUUUCGGGCAAAACCCAAUCGUUAGCUCUUUCAACAAAGGGAAUUCGACAUUAUAAUUUCCUGAGCAGAAGGAGAUGAGGUUUCCAAGGAAAUCCAUACGCAGAAAGUUUAAUCGGGGGAAACAAAUCACAUUAUUCAUUUCUUCUUCUUCUUCUUCUAUUUCCUCUGUAAAUAUUAUCUCCCUUAAGGACUCACAAUGCACUAUCUCAAAGCGGUGGAGCUGCACCAGACUCCUGGCGACAGAGGGUGAUAACAGAUGCUCCAACUUGCCGCAUCCACUGAUGAUCAACCUCCUCAAAUUCGAACUCCUAUGAUAUGUCUGCUUGUGCCAUAUUGUGUUGUUGUUAAUGGAAUGAUGGAAAACAAGUUGCAUAAAUACAAACAAUUCUUUUCUUCUAAAAAUCUAAAUGGAAGGGAAACGAAAAGAUAAUACGUAACAUAAAUUGGAAAUAUGAUUUUCGAUUUUAAAGAAUUUUAGUUCGAACUGUGAAUUCCAAUUACAUUUUCAUCAUUUUUGUGUAUUGAAUUGAUUUUGGACUUUCGAUGAGUUUGGAUUAAAAUUUAAAUUUUGGGUUUGAAAUUUACUUUGCAGCCUUAAAAACUAUUGGAUAAUUAAUUAUUUUAUUAUUAGAAAUUUAAGUUAGUGGAUCAAAUAAUUAUCUAAUAAUUAUAACUUUUUUGACGAUGUCACUAAAUAGUUGCAUUAUAAAUAAAAGUUGUAAAAGAAUAUAUGAAUAAUGUCAAACAAAUACCUGAUAAAUGAAAAGUGGUAGGGGCUCAAAACUCGUGGAACACCUUUCCUCUUGACAGCAAAAGCUAAUAAGUUGCGGCAGACGCUCAAGUUUUAUGAAACGUAAUUCAGAAAACUCAAUUUUGUUCAUUGUGAUAUAUUGCACCUGCAUACCAUUUUGGACAUGAAGACUCUGUAAAUGUGGAAAAUCGUUCCCUUUAUUUAACUCUGCAAGUACAUUCUUGAUGCCUUCAAGACCUUCUAGGUCUAGGUACAAAUCUUCAGCCUUUCCCAGCAACAUUUUCACCCCAUUAUCCAAACAAAUGUUUGUAUAUAACUGGAGCUCCAAUGUCCUUGAACAUUCAUGUCUUCGGAGCCACUUGGAUCUAGGAUGAUUACCUACAAUAAUCCUGUAUCUGUUCAAUGUCUCAAUGAAUCGAUGCUUUGGAAUCAUUUGGAUAUCAGAAAUUCGAACAUAUAAAGUAGUUAGACGAGACAAAUUGUUUAAUUCAUCAAGGCUUGCAUUUCUCCUCUUGUUGUCAACUACUCCUUCAUUUUCCCAUUCAGCAAAGCUUCCCUCCAUAUAUAAUUCUUCUAAUUUAGACAAACUUGAUAAGACAUUUGGUGGGAUGAUUUUGAGUUUUCUACACCCACUCAAAUCUAACAACCUUAACCGAGUCAAUUGUGCUAUCUCCUUGGGUAGUUCUUUGAUCCUUGAGAAAGCAAGGUCGAGGAUUUCUAAAUUUUUGAGCUCUCCAAUGAUGGUUAUGUCUUCAACUAGACAUCCUCUUAGACAUAACAUGCGAAGGUCUAAGAGGUGAUUAAUUGACUCAGGUAGAUAGGAAUAUGAACGUAAAUCCAAGAUUUUGAGACUUUCAAUUCGUCUGAAAAAAUGGGGAGGAAUUGCCACUGAAUCAUCAUGGGCCAUAUGGAAAAAGGAAAGACCUGAAUACUCCAUCUCCUUGGGAAGCUCGGCUACAAUUUGAGGACAAGGUAAGCUUAUCACUCUCAAGCUGUUCAUUUUCGCCUUAUCGGACCACUCCUUUGGAAUAUGAUCUCUCAAAACAAGCAUAUGGUAGUCCCUCGAUGCAAUAGCUAAAGCAGCAUCCCAAACAACAUCAUGGAUAUCAAAGUGCUCAUCAUCAUAACUAUCAAGCAACAGGGAAGACGCUUUGAGAUUAGCCACAACCGUCAAUACUUCAUUUCUAGCUUCUUCCAUAGUGUUGACACCACCAAAUAAACCCAAACCCACAGUAUAUCUCAUCAACUUCUCAACCAGACCAUUAUGGCCUAUUACACAGCAAAGCAAGAAAGUCAGCUUAACUUCCUCACUUUCUAAAUAAUUAAAACUCCACUCAAUAGCUGAAUAUGCUGCAGCUAUCCCCGUGAAGUUGCUUGAUGAAGGCCUCUCUAGUUCUCGUAAAGCAUUCUUCCACUCAAACAAUCUUUUGUUUCUCAAAGCCCCUGCAACUGUCGCAAUGGCUAUGGGCAAUCCUGCACAUUUUUUGGCUACCUCCAUAGCUGCAGGCUUCAAAUCACAACUUUCAACGCAGUCGCCAGCCUUCUUCUUGAACAGGUCCCAGGCCUCGUUUUUAUUUAAAAACCCAACAGAAAAAUGUUUCUGAGCAUCCAUCCCAUUUGAUAAAACAUUUAGCUCUCUAGAAGUUAGCAGCAACUUGCAUCCCUUGUGCUCAUCUCCCACAGGGAUCCCAACUUCCUCAAUAUCAACCUUUGCCCAAAUGUCAUCCAAGACAACCAGAACCCUCUUCUCUUUCUUCAAUCUUUCUCGUAGUCGAAGUGCCUUUACAUCAGUACUCUGUUCCUCAAAUUUCAAGCCCAAUAACUCUGCAAUUCUGUCCUGAAUUUUCUCAAUAUCAAUGGCUUGCGUUACUGUUGCUAUGACAACCGAAUCAAAUAAAUUGCCCUUGACCUUUCUAGCGAUUUCUUUGACUAGCAUUGUUUUUCCGAUCCCACCCAUACCGUGCACCCCAAUAACGCUGACGCUAUCAUCAUUUAGUGCCUCCAUUAUUCCAUUCAAAACCAACGUUCUUGACUCAAAAUCCUCGUACCCUUUAAAUGGUGUGAUAGCGAUACCUUGCAGAGGCACAGGAUAAGAAACCUCGUCAAACUUGCCCUGUUCAAGUAGCUCGGCAACAGCCUUCACCUCCUCUGCAGCUUUCAGGCUAAGCUUGUAACGAGUCCAGAAAUGAGGACACAAACCAACGAAACACUUUUUCUUUGCUUUUUCUUCAUCUUGCGUCACUUUCUCUACUUGUUCAAGGAUCCUUGUGUCGACUGCAGACAACCAUUUGUCAACAUCGCCUUGGAUCUCUUUGCCGUUUCGUAAAGCUGCAUCAACAGAAUGCUGCACUCUGUCCCUUGCAACUUUCAGCUUCUCAGCUUGGUGCUUGAGGAUCUCAACAUUUUGCUGAUGAUUGGAAAGGUAUUUGACAUGGUUUAUGAUAGGAGAAAUCGUAUACUCUGCAGCUUUAGCGACAAUAGAGCUAACGAUGGCAAUAACAAAGUCCAUUGAGAGAGCAAAGAGCAAGUAAACUGAAAAACCACAGCCACAACAGAAAUCAAAACAAAAGCAGAAGAAAAAGGUACAAGUAAAAAUGAGCAGAAAGUAAAGCUUCUGUAAACAAACAAGACAGAACAAAUGAAAGCAGAUGGCGUACCUUUGCAAAAUAUAAGAGAAGGAUUGAGCGAUGAGUUUUGAACGAUGGAAAUAAUAAUUUGCCUUAACCGAGUAAAGCGAGUAGUAAUUUGAGAAUAGGCAAGUUAAUGUAAAAGUAAGCAAGUUUCAAUUGUUUUGUAUGUUCAAAAAACAUGCAUUACUUUCGCGGAUACAACUAAAAAGUGAAGAAGCCAACAGACAUGAUGACCCACCACGCCGAUGCUUUUUCAUUUAUUGCAAUUUUUAUUCGUAAGCAUUAAAUGUUGGGUAAAUUGCACAAUUAGUCAUUUAGGCAUUGCAGUCAAAAACUAUUUUCAUUUUUUAAAAUUAUUCCCUCUUUAGUCACGUGACAUUAAUUCAAUAUUAUUAUAUACUCAUUUAAGUCAUCCAAUUUUAAUAAAUUUUUAUUUUGAUCACUCAUUUCAUGUUUUAAAUUGAUUUUAUUUUUUUUCAAAAAAAUACCUUCCUUUUUCUUUGCAACUCCAUUUCCUAUAAAAACCCAGAUAAUUCAUCGGAAAAACCCAAGUUUUUCUCUUGUUAAUGAAUAAAAACUAAAAUAAAAGUGCAAUAACAUUAAAUUAAUGGUGAGUGGCCAAACUAAAAACAAUUUUAACCAUAGUGCCUAAAAUGAAAAUAAUUUUAAUAAUAGUGCCUAAAAUGAAAAUUUUUUAUUUUUUGGUACCAAAAAUAGAACUUUUUGAAAAAACGGUGACCAAUUAUAUAGUUUUCCCUAAAAUAUUUUAGCUUGAUUAAAGUAGCCUUAUCUUUUUAUAACUUUAUUUUUUAUUUAUUAAUUUAUAUUCUAUUUUGGUAUGACCAAUUAUUGAGCUGGGGGCUUAAUGGGAAUACUAUUUUGGCACUGUGUUUUGCACGUAAAUUCGAAAAAAGGUCUUGUUAAAAUCUGUUGGAAAAAUAUUAACACAUAGAUCAAAAGCUAUCAACAUAUAUAUAUAACUAUUUAUAUAUGGCUAAGUUAGCCAAAAAAAAAAAAGCAGAUUUAAAAAAAAAAAAUUGGUUGAUUAGGCCCAUUUUUGACAUAUUUAUUAUAAUAGGUUGAUUUUUAAUAAAAAAAAAGUGAAAAUGUGUAAGAAAGCACGAUACUCUUAAAAAAUAUCAAUACCCUUAAAAAAGUAUCGAUAACCUUGCUUGACAUCGACAUUAAUUUAAACUUUAAAGUUCAGAAAAACUGAACAAAAAUCAAAAGUAUUAAUACACUUGAAAAAGUAUCGAUACCUUUCACCAUGUAUUGAUACCAUCGUCAACCUUUCAAUAUUCUAUCUAUGUUUUUUCUUUGGUUCAUUUUCAUAUGUAUUUUUCUUCGCAUAUUUUACCAUUUCUUAACAUGUUUGUUUACCUUACAAGUUUAUCAUAUCUAAAACAUGAUUUUAGCAAAGCUGCUAUUGUGGAACCAAAAAUAUUUUGUAUUUAUGAUGAGAUUUAUGGAACUUUGACUUACAAAUUGGCUAUCAAGCCUUGAAAGAAUGGGUGGUAGUGGUGGUGGCAGCUGCUUCCUUUGAGGCUGCUAUAGUGGCACUUUCCUUAAACUAAUAUUGUAAAGGUACUCCCAUUUUUAAUGGUAUUUCACUCUCUCUACUCUGAUAAUGUUUUCUUUUCUCUCCAUUCAAUUAUAGAAAAAAAAAAAAAGAUUUUGGUAUCGGAGGAUUCACCAUGUAUCCAUCUUCCAAAGUUAGGAGAAGACAAGAUGCUAGCUACCAUUAGAAAGUAGCACUACACAAAGCAUUUCUUUUUCCCCACAUUGUCGAUAAACCUUUGUAAUCCAAUCAAUAGAUUUAUAAAUUUCAUUGUAAUUCUAAUUGUAGGAAACAACACGUACCGAUAUUAAAAAUACAUCAUCCUAGACACAAUUUCAUUUUUUUCUCUCUAAAAUCGACCUAUUCCAAUAAAUAUAUCAAAAAUAAGCCUAAAUAACCAAAAGAAUUUUUUAAAUCUGCCUUCCUAACUAAUUUAGCUUUUAUAUAAGAACAAUGAUUUAUGCUUCACAUAAAUCAAAUCAAUAAUCGAAGUAAGUAUAUAAGUGGGUGUGAACUUAUUAAAAAUAUUUAUAUAUAAUUAAAUAUAUAAUUAGUUAACUAAUGAGGUGUCACAAAUACUAGAGUGCUACGUUCAAAAUUGAGAAAAAUUAUUAAAUUUUAAAAUUAAUGUGAAAAAAAAUUACAGAUCAAAUUAAAAGAAAAUGUCAUGUUCGGAACUAAAUGUUGACUAACCUUCAUUUAUUAACCCAAAUGUUAAAAGGAUUAAAUAUCUUAAAAUAAUUUUAAUCUCUAAAAUUUGACACGAUUUAAAGUUUUUAAUUUUUUUAGGUAUAAUAAUAAAUUUAACUUCUAAUAUUUAUUGUUUUUCACUUUAAUCUUAAUUUUUUAUUACUUUAACUCUCAACCUUACAAAUAUAAUCAAAAUGUUUUUCAUUUUAGUCUUAAUUUUUUCUCCUCUCUAAUGGGGUUUUCAAGCGCAAGAAGAUCAUACUCUCUUAUUGCUCUUAGCUUUCUCACCAUUUCAUUUCUAUGUUUAUGAUAAUACUCUAAAAUGAUAUAUUUUUAUGUAUUAAUUAUAUAUUUAUUUUGAGUACGAUCCUAUUAAUUUGUGUUUUUUAUGAUUUUUAUCUUUUAGGGACUAAAUUGCAGCCAAAAGGAAAUUUGAGGGCAAAAAGAGUGAAUUUGAGGACAAAAUGGCAACAUGCAAAAUAGGAAAGAAGUGGUGCCAAAAAUACAAAGUGUGAAAGACUUGAGGAAAAAAAUUCAAAGAAGAGAUUUAUAAACAUAAGACUCUAUUUAAAUUUAAAUUUUAUUAGGAUUAUUGUUAAGAUUAUUAUUUAGAUUUAAUUUCAGCUUUUAUCUUUAUUUAUCCUUUAGAGUUUUAAUAGGAAAAAACUAAGUUUUUCUUGUACUAUAAAUAGGGAAUGAAGUGAUACAAAUUGCACUCAUCUUUUUUGUAAAAAAUUUUGUCUCCCUGAAGCUCUUGAUCUUUGUUCAUUUUGUUAUUUAAUAAAAUUCCAUUUUAUUAAACUUAUUUCUUUUUUCCCGAAAAGCAUAAGCCACUAAACUCAUCUAGCCAAAGGUGCUUUAUAUGUUUUGGGAAGGUUGCACAGUUGAUUCGUUAGCUUACUGGAUCAGUGGUUGUCGAGCCUAAGAGACAAGAUGGUGUGGCAUUCGCCAUUGAGAAGUGAUGAUCUAGUGUAAGAUGGUCUUAAAAAAGUGGCAAUUGGCUAGAGUCAGAUUCCUUUAAAUCGUAAGGCUAAAAUCUAAGUGGAGCUGGUGGUCGUAGGUGUCCUCUUCUAUUAUAACUAGCUUAUUCUGUCAUGAGAAGGAUCAUCUAAAAGCCGAGGAUUAAACCCAAGAAGGAUUGAGACAACCGAAGGCUAGAAUCUCUCAAUUAAAGAAACUAUUUUCUCAAUUCUAUUUCUCUUUACAAUUUUGAUUUCAAUUUAUACAACUUCACCCCUUCUAUAUCUUUAAUUCUAUUUUUUUUCCAAGUACAUUGCUUUUUCUUGGGAACGAUUGUGACCGAGAUCUUGAGGAAUAAGAAGUUGUGCAAAUCUAAUCCCUGAGGAUUUGGUCCUACUUCCCUUAUACUAUAUUUUUCCUUAUUUUAUAGGGAUAGAUUAUUUUUGGUGAUUUUAAUAACACACCAGUUUAGAAAAUGCCAAUUGUUGCUGCAAUGUAUAUGAAGGUAAGUGGGUGUAUGACAGCUCCUAUCCUCUCAUCCACAAGGAGUUUAAUUGCCUCAAGUAUGGCCGCCCUGAUAAUCUUUACGUUAAAUAUAGAUGGCAACCAAGCAAGUGUAAUUUGCCAAGGUACAUAUCUCUCACCGCCCUCAAUGUUUCAUCUAUGGAGGGUGUCGAAAUUAUCAAAUAAAAAUAAUUCCUACAAUAAAAUAACUCUAAAUAGUGGUAAACAGUAGUAAAUAGUAGUGUUUGUAAAUUAAGCUGCCUUUUAAGUGUACCACACCACCUAUUUAUACAUAAAUCAUACGCUAAUUUUAAGCUUGUUCCACAUAUUACUAACUACAUAAAUUAAUAUCAUAUUUCAUUUCUAAUUUUGGCUUUUACAAGGUUAAAAUUUGAUCAGCCCCUCAAAUGUCUCAAAUUUAUGAUUCAGUCCCUGUUCUAUUUCUCAUGCUUCAAUUUAAUUCCUUCUUUGUUUGUUUUUUAUUUAAAACACCCAAAUUUCAUCUCUGUAAAUAUUUAAACACAAAAUUCAUCAAUUAGCAGGAACUAAUUCAAAAUCAAAUUAAGCACAAAAAAAUAUACAAAAUGAACAAUCUAUCAAUCUGCAUGUCUAUUAGCUUAAUGGAACAAAUGACAGGUUUGAUGGAACGCAUUUGUUGAGGAGAUUAAGGGCAAUAAGAUAAUGCUUAUUGGAGACUCCAUAAGUAUAAGCCAAUGGCAAUUUCUGUUAUGCAUGCUUCAUGCUGCAGUGCCUACUACAUCUGGUAUAAUCACACUGUUUCCACUGUUACUUUCAAGGUAUAAUCACACAAGACUUGCAUAAUCUGGUAUAAUCUGACAUAAUUUGAAAUUAAAUUAAACAAUAUCAUAAUAAUCCUAACAAUAAUCCUAAAAAUAAAAUUCAUAUUUAAAUGAAGUCUUAUAUUCAUAAAUCUCUUCUUUGAUUUUUUGCUCCAAGUCUAUCACAAUUUGUAUUUUUGGCACCACUUCUUCCCUAUUUCGCAUGCUGACCUAUUUUGUCUCUAAUCUCACACUUUUUCCCCAAACUUCCUUUUGCCUUCAAGUUAGUCCCUACAAGAUUAAAAACCAUAAAAAGCCCAAAUUAGUAGGAUCAUUUUAGAAAUAUGUUAUUAGAUCUAGCUUUUGCUAUAUAUAUGGUAUUCAAUUAUAUUUUGCUAUAUAAUUUCAAGUAUAAAAAAACAUACAACUUAAAUAAUUCAAAAUUAAACAUUGCAAUUUUAAAUCCAUACUAACAUACUUAACCCAAUUUUCACAAAAUAUGAACAAGAUAUCAUAUAUUGCAUAAAUAACAUAGAUAGUUUGAAGUUGAUUUUUCAAGUAUUAAAGACCAAAAGAAUACCGAGUCACUUACCUAGUCUGCUGAAUCAACACUUGAGUGACAAAUUUCACAAAUCCACUAAUAGCCUAAAAUUUAAGAAUGGAACUUGAAAAAUCAGAAUUCAAUCAAUAAAUCAAAGGCUUAAAAGGUAUGGCUUUAUGCGGUAAUCCUAUGACAUUUCACUUGUGACAAUUCCCCUAACUAAGACACAAUUAUAUAGUUUAAUUAAACUAUUCUUUACUUCAAAAGUAAGUAAAUCAAAUUUAAUAAAAUGCAUACAUAUUUUAAGAAAAUUCAAUAAAUUAAUAAAAAUCUGUUUACUAUGGUUGGAGUUCCAACCAAAGAAUAUAUAUUCAAACAGAAAAUAUUUUAAAAAUCAAAAUUUCGAAAUUCUAAACUUCACUAUUUUGACUCACUUGAAGCAAUUCAAACUCACAACUUACUUGGUUUUUGGCAGUAGAAAAACAUAAUUUAAAGAAUUAAUGUAAUAGUAAAACUGAGAAACUUAGUUUUGUCAAAAUCAGUUACCAAAAACUUAAGUUUCGAAAGCCAAAACAUAAGAAAUCAUCACAAUCUGCACAGAUUUUUUGGGUUAACAAUUUUGACUAGCCUACUUUGGGGCCUCAUAUGACCAAGAUAACAAAUACCACAUAAAAAAACAAACCCCAUACUAUGAAAAACAUCUAAAUUUCGGAACAAAUGAACACCUAAUGAUGGAUUUUUUGUGCAUCAAAAUCGACUACUCAAAACUAUCAAAAACCCACACAUCAGAAACUUUUAAAAAUUUUCUCCUAAACUACUCGAUCAAAAUGGAUCUCAUACAUACCAUUUGAAAAAUCUUGAAAAGAACUUUCGUUUGGUACCAACAAUGUCACCGAAAUCUCACCGGAAAGUCACUGAAAUGUGGCGAACAAUAAAAUUAACCCAAAUAAAAUACAUGGGCAAAGAUUUCAACAAAUAUAAACCAAAACUCAUCUUAAUAGUUGAAAACUAAGAUCGAUUUGCCAAAUUAUCAAAACCACCGUCCAAAAGAAAAUAGCAUAAGUGAUUUUUCCCCUAUUCUUUGAUAUAAAAGAACAAACGCUAUAAAAUACACAUAAAUUUGAGCUUGAUAAAAAAAAUAACUAAUGGAUCAAAUAAUUAAUUGGGCAUUCAUUUAAAAAAGUUGGGGGUAUUACAAUUAGUGAAUUAAUUAUCUUGAAGGCAAGGAUGGAUUAAGGUAUAGGACGUGAUUACGAGGGUUGGAGCAUAAUUUUUUGAAGGCUAAUGUUUGGAGUUGGAUUGCGAAACCACGAUAUGUUCUGAUUAAACAUUAAUGGAGUGAAUAAUGAAUUUGAGCUGAGUGUUUCAUGAAGCAGGCGUUUUCUUUUCUUGAUCUUUGCUAGACAGGGAAUAUUGUUAAGCUCAGCUGGUUGUUUUUAAAGAUUGGUGGAUGCAGGAAAUUUUCAAAAUUGCGAUGGCCUAUGUAUGAAUUACGUGAGCAGAAAAACUACUGUUCAAUGACAAUGAUGAUGACCAAUGUGUACGCUUUGUGUGAUCUUGAUGAGCAUAAAAACUAUGUGAUAAGAUUUUAGAUACUUUAAUUGCUGUUUGAUGAAAGAGAGAAAGUAAUGUGAAAUGGAACAGUUCAAAUAAUAGAUUUGCAAAAAGUGAAACAACCUUUUAGGUUCGGAGGAAAAUUGCAGACCCAUACAUCAAUAGAGCAACUCAACCUACAAUGAAAAAGGCAUCUCCAUCAUCACUUUGUAGCUUCUGUAAAGCAUUAGUUAAGCCAUGAUGAAGGUUAAUAAAGCAGAUAAAUGAAAAUAGAAAAGUAAAUUACCAUUUGUUUUGAACUGAAAUGAAACUAAGCUUUUGUCUCAGAAGCACCCAAACAUAUUUCCUUAAGUCACCUGAGAAUUUUGCACAUUCUGUGCUUGACCAAAAUAAACAAUUAUAAAGAAAGGUAAAACCAAGAACUGUUCAAUUAACUAUGUAUGCAAAUGCACCAAAUAGCAAUUUAUAUUCGUUAUGUUAUUAAAAGUUAAAGACUUGAAAUCCUUUAAAAUGAUUUUUACCAUUACUUGGAACAUUUGUUUUAUGGUAGUGUUAAGGUCGCCUUCCCACCAUAGUUCAUCUUCCUCAUCUCUUGCUACAUGCAUUUGUUGUAGAUUUGAGGUGCUUAAAUCUCCUUGACAGAAAUUUCUCAUUUUUGGGCACUUUGUCACCAUUACCAUUUGCAAGACAGGGAACUCUAACGAGUGAUGUGCCAAGGAAAAGCUUGCUAGACUUGGCAGACCACUCAGUUUCAAAUACUUCAGUUUGGGAAAAAUAAUGCUGCCUUGUAUUUCUUCACCCUCACAUGCUAUGAUUUCCUCUAUCAUCUCACAAUCAGCUACGCUCAAUCUUUCUAGUAGCAUCAGGCUCUUACCUGUUGAGCAUGCCAUUAAAUUGAUGAAUCCAUGGCAGCUUAUAACUUCUAGAGUUGUUAGCUUUUUGAAAGACAGCAAAGAUGGUUGAAAAGUCUUUAAUGUCAACUGCGGAAGUUUAGACAACCUCAAUUCCUUUAACUGAUAGAAUGCUGAUGUCUGCCUUCCCUUGUCGCUGAGUCCUUCAGACCAGACUAUUUCAGAAAUGGAAGCAUUGUUUAUAACAAGCUUUUGAAGCUUUGGUAGUGACUGAAUGAAGCAAUAUGGAAGAGUAGUGGAUGUCUCCGGAAAGCAAUGGAGGUUAAGAAGUUUAAGGUUUGGGAAACACUGCAAUGAGAGUUGUCCAUCACAUAUCCCCU